Molecule: long non-coding RNA, 78691 nt
Filed under: Malus domestica (apple)
Lineage: Eukaryota; Viridiplantae; Streptophyta; Magnoliopsida; Rosales; Rosaceae
Source: RNAcentral
GCUCAGUUUCUUCCCUUGCUGCGCAGCCGCAACUUACUCUCUUAUGUUACUGGCGAAACUCAAUGCCCCUCUUUCUUCUUGAUGACAAUGGUAAAUUCACCGAUAAAGUCAAUCCAUUAUAUAAUGAAUGGAUCCAGACUGACCAGAUGAUCCUAUCUUGGAUUACGAGUUCUCUUACUCCCAAGGUUCUUGCUACGAUCGUCAACAAAAUUGAUUCGGCCUCUGCUUGGUCGUCAAACUCGAAUUAAUCUGAUUGUGAGGGUUUUGUUUUAUAUCAAUAUAUUGCAACAGAAGUCACACUUUGAAGAGUUCAUGCUGCACAGAAAGAUGAUGAAAUGCUACCCGUUGAGUCUAUCAUUGCUCCAUUGGAGACAGAGCUGAAGCUUACUGCAGGAGUUAUACAUUUGUUAUGCAAUAUGACCCCUUUAAUUUUAUUUUAAAACUGAUACAAAAAUACUACAAAAAUUUAUGUAGUAUUUUUGUAUCAGUUUUGAGUGUCUAUUUUGGCUUCCAUAUAUCGUCUGUACAUGUGAGAGGUAUAGUGUUCAAUAUGUAUUUGGUUUCUAUAUUGUUAAUGGAUCCUUUUUUUUUUUUUAAUUUUAAUAUAAUUUUAUUAAGGUAACCAAGUUGCAGGAUGACAUCAGAACACUUGAUCUGCAGGUAAACCUUCAAUUUCCAUAUGAAGUUUGCAUGUUCGUUGUUUCUGGAAUUUGAGUUUUUAUUAUUUCUCAAUUCUAUCACAUAGAUUACGAUUUCACAUAUGUGAUUAUUAAUGGCAAUUAUAUGAUAGAAGAAUUGGGAUUGGAAGAAGAUAUUGAGUUGUUUAUUUAUGGGGAUUAGAAAAUGAUUAUCAUACAAGUGAUAUUUAUUUUUGUGUGGAUUGUUAAUAUAUAAAACUAUAAGCUUUUGAGAUUGGGAGAUAAAACCCACAAAUUCAAAUCAGACAAAAUAAAUAAAAAAUUUAACUGACUUAAAGAUCAAACUCCAAAAGGGUAUUAAAAACAAGGCUUAUUUGAUCCAUUGAGUGUGAAAGUUUUGAGCUUUGAAGAAGCAUAGGAGGAGAGUUGUUAACCAAGCUGCAUUAUCCAUGUAUUAGGAUGUUGAGGGUAGGCAGGAAAAAUACUUUUUGACGCCAUAUCCAGAGGAGCAUAACGACAGGCCUGCAUUUUUGCAGCAAGGACCAAAACAAGUAGAAGUGAAGGCUUGACUGUUUGGGUAUUAAUCCUAAACCUAAUUAUUCUUAUUUAGGUUUAGGAUAAAUGAUUGAGUGUGUCUCGAUGAUUGUAUUACCAUGUUUGAUGAAUGACUUGAGGAGUUGGAAAUGGUUUAUUGCUUAUGUUUUUCUUAGGUGUGUACUUUGGUUAUUUCCGAGCUUUUCACGACUCUUGAUACCUAAUAGAGAAAAUGGAAACCCCAACUUUAAUUUUAUGAAUUGGUUUUGGUGCCUAAAAUGAAAUCUAGCAUAGUGAAAUCUUGCAUAAUGAAAUUAUGACAAAUUUCCCUUCAUCUUUAGAUUUUCAUUUAGUUCAAUUUGUAUGCAAUUUAGGGUUAUUCAAUUCAUGAGUGAUCAAAUUAUGUUUUUAAUUCCUUCUUCUUUUGAUUUACAGUUCAACAUUGUCGUACAAAAUGAAAAAGGUGCCAGUAACAUAGUUAUGGAUUUGGAUGCCUUUAGCGGAAUAAAACUGAAUUUUUUAACUUUGUAUAGUUGUAAACAUAAAAUACUCCAUCAGAUAGACUCAUAGCAUUUGAAAACAAUCCUUGAGGAUGGCAUAACAACAUCUCCAACUUUUGUCAUGUAAUGUAUGAAUGUAAAUAGCACUUUGUAAACAUAUGGAUGUAAUAUAUGUAUAUAAACAGUCUUUAGCAUGUAUAUUUUUCAAAACUUUCUACAUCUUCAACAAUGUUUCAAUGAUUUCUUGAUGUAAACAAUGAUAAUUUGAAGAACCAUUUAAAGUUUUCGGUAAUCAGCAUACUUAAGCUUAAAUGUGAUAUAUCCGUUUAGUAUUUUUUAUACAGUGAUAAUACUCAAGUAUAAUUUACAUCAUAUAUCUUUUGAAGUACAUGAAACUAUGAAGAAAAAACCCUAAUUAAUCUGAUUAUGGGGGUUUUGUUUUAUAUCAAAAUAUUGCAGCAGAAGUCACACUUUGAAGAGUUCACGCUGCACAGAAAGACGAUGAAAUGCUAUCUGUUGAGUCCAUCAUUGCUCCAUUGGAGACAGAGCUGAAGCUUGCUGCAGGUGGUAUACUUUUGUUCUGCAAUAUGACCCCUUUAAUUUUAUUUUAAGACAGAUAGGGUUGAAAAGAAUUUAUGUAGUAUUUUUGUAUCAGUUUUGAAUGUCUAUUUUGACUUCCAUAUUUGGUCUGUACAUGUGAGGUAUAGAGUGUUCAAUAUGUAUUUGGUUUCUAUAUUGUUAAUGGAUCUUUUUUUUUUGUUUUUUAGGUAACCAAGUUGCAGGAUGAAAACAAAACACUUGAUCAGCAGGUAAACCUUCAAUUUCCAUAUGAAGUUUGCAUUUUUGUUGUUUCUGGAAUUUGAGUUUUUUGCAGGAUGAAAACAGAACACUUAAUCUGCAGGUAAACACUUGAUUUGUUAUUUCCAAGCUUUUCACGACUUUCGAUACCCAAUAGAGAAUAUGGAAACCCCAACUUUAAUUUUAUGAAUUUGUUUUGGUGCCUAAAAUGAAAUCUAGCAUAGUGAAAUCUUGCAUAAUGAAAUUAUGACAAAUUUCCCUUCAUCUUUACAUUUUCAUUUAGUUCAAAUCGUAUGGUUUAGGGUUAUUCAAUUCAUGAGUGAUCAAAUUAGGUUUUUAAUUCCUUCUUCUUUUGAUUUUCAGUUCAGCAUUGUCGUAUUUUGGAUGCCUUUAGUGGAAUAAAACUGAAUUUUUUUAACUUUGUAUAGUUGUAAACAUAAAAUACUCCAUGAGAUAGACUCAUAACUUUUGAAAACAAUCUUUGAGGAGGGCAUAACAACAUCUCCAACUUUUGUCAUGUAAUGUAUGAAUGUAAAUAGCACUUUGUAAACAUAUGUAUGUAAUAUAUGUAUAUAAACACCACUCUUUAGCAUAUAUAUUUUUCAAAACUUUCUACAUCUUCAACAAUGUUUCAAGCCCCGCGGCAACGGGCGGGUACACUUGCUAGUAUACAUCUAAAAUUAUAAGACUAAAUCCUUUAGUUCUUGGAUUCAUCUAAGAACUACUUAUUCCAGCAGAUGCUAUGCUUGCACUACUAGAAUUUAUGGCUUGCCCUGUCAACUAUUGCGCGACAGAAGAUUUCGUCGGUUUCACCUUUUUUAACCGACAGAAUAUAAGUUUAGUAGGGCAAAAUCAGUCAACAAACUGGGUUGAUUGAAUAAAUUUACAGGAUGGCUAGAGUUCGUAGGUUAAGACAUCGGUCGUUGGGCAAACAUUUGGAGCGAAGAUGUGAGUGUUUUAACUGACGAAUAAGCUGGUCGUCAUGUAGAUCUUCUUUCCCGACGGACGGUUCAACAGGUAGCUCUUUGGAUAAUAAUUCAUCUUCAAGGGGAACAGGUUGCCCCUCAGAUGAAUGGUUAGAGGCAAUUGUGAGACUAUAAUUUUCUAGGGCCGGAAUAAAAAAUACAUAAACCCUCACCUAUUCUGUCUCUGUAACCAUCCACCAAAUACCCAUUUUUCCCUUUCUAUUUCUCUCCUAGUAAUUUCCCCUGACCGAAUCACACAAUCCAACCAACUCUCUUUAAGCCUCCCUCACUGAUUCCAUGGAUUUCAUGGACUUAUCCCACCCUCUCUCCUUCCUUCUAUAUAUAGCAAGUCCCCUUGCCUCAGUGUCCCUGGCAACAGAAUUUAUGGCGUUUCUUCGUUCUUUCAAUUAUUUGAAAGCUUCCCUGCCCUGCAAUCUUGUAUAAAGGCGUAUGGUGUUUCAUCAGUUCCAUUUGGUGGUCGGGUGGGAAAUGAAAUUAAAACACUGCAUUUCAAAUGCAUUUCAAAUGGUCUAAACCAAAUUGAAUCAAAUGUGAAGCAAAGGGCAAGAGGUGUAGAUUGAAGAACAAUGGCACCAAGAGCGAAAUUGAACUUGUUGACAGGAGGAAACCAAGUAAGGAUAACACGUCUAAAUCUUAUUUUGAAUCCAUUCAGCUCAUGAUGUUUUGAAUGAUGAUGAUCGGUAUACUCUGCUACAUGCUGUGAUUUUUCCGCUUUCAUGUAAUUAACGGCUUAUAUUUGUGGUAACCAUAUUGAUUAAAAAAGGUCGUACCCAGUGCACAAGGCUCCCGCUUUACGCAGGGUCUGAAAGGUGAAUGUCGGCUAGCCUUACCCCCAUUUUAUGGAGAGGCUGCUCCAAAGUCUCAAACCCAAGACCUACCGCUCAUGGGCGAAGACACUUGCCAUCGCACCAAGUGCGAUAUUGAUUAAUUUCGAGAAAUGACAGUCUAAUUUUUGCAACUGUCUUUUGCAGGCAAAACAAAGACGUUUGCAAGGGUGAGUUGUGUAGGAGCUUUGUUUCAUGUCCAAAGGACACUUGAGAAUAAAUGUUUACACUCAUGGAUAAUAUCUAUCUAUUUGCAGGAGUAACCCUGGGUUCAUUUGUUCUGUAACUGCUGGUCAUUGCGGCAUAUCACGCCUAUAGCACUGACAAAAGUAAAAAGAGAAUCGAAUGAAAUUUGAUAAGUUUUCAGCGGACUACAAAGAUCUUAAGCCAAGCAUAUAUUCCCAUGCAGAUAUUAAGAGGUUUACAAAUCAAUUCAAGUACAAGUUGGGCCAAGGAGCAUACGGAACUAUUUUUAAAGGAAUGCUUUUUUCUGAAUGCUUUGUUGCCAUGAAGUACUUAACAAUGGGCCAUAUUCACCAUGUCAAUGUGGUUCACUUGGUUGGUUUUUGUGCUGAUGGAUUUAGAUGAGCUCUGGUUUAUGAGUUCUUUUCCUUUGGUUCACUCCAGGAUUAUAUUUCAUCAGUAGAUAGAUUUCUUUCCUUGGUUGGCAUAAGUUACAAGAUAUUGCUAUCAGCAUAGCCAAAGGAACCAAGGAUGUGAUCUACAAAUCCUCCAUUUCGAUAUCAAACCCCAUAAUGUUUUGCUCAACCAAAAAAUCACGCCAAAAAUCUCUGAUUUUGGUCUGGCCAAGUUAUGUUCCAAGGAUCAAUCGGCGUGACUAAAGCAAGGGGGACUAUGUGACUAAAGCACCCGAAGUGUUUUCCAGGAAUUUCGGAAAUGUGUCUUACAAGGCAGAUGUCUUGAAUGCUGCUGCUUGAGAUGGUAGGAGAAAAGAAGAAUAUUGGUUCAACCAGAGGACACGACAAAUGAAAUCUACUAUCCAAAAUGGAUUUAUAAUCUUCUAGAGGAAGGAAAUGACCAACAGAUCCCUAUUGAGGAAGAAUGUUAUGGUAAGAUUCCAAAGCAACUUGCAAGUUUAGGGCUCUGGUGCAGCCAGUGACACUCAGUGGAUCGGCGGUCCAUGAAAACGGUGGUUCGGAUGUUAGGAGGAGGAGAAAACUUGAUGAUGCAAGCAACCCUAAAAGCCUCAUACAGUUAGAAGCAAUUGCUGAAUUAGAGUAACAUACGUAUAUGUAUACGCACCAACACAAGUCGUUCUUAGAUGAAUCCAAGCCAAACAAUUACAGACAAUAGUUAUUCACUAAAUCACUUUAAGGCAAGAAUUUAAUUAAUAAUACAUUACUGCACUUUCUUAACCAUUUGACUAUCACCUAGCUGACAAUGAACACGUUAGCUCCGCGUUAGAACAUCUUGGGUUCAAUUCAUUGUCUUGAAUAUCACCCACUGUCACAGGCGUCUUUUGGGGGCAUAGAGAAGGCCUGAGAGGCAUUUGCAGACAUUCAACAUCUCCUCCAAGCAUUUUGACAACUUUGGACAUCGAAGGGCGAUCACUUGGUUUCAUUUGAAUACACCACAAGGCGGUUAUAACCAUCUUUCUUAUUACUUUCUUUUCCUCCUCUGUAACAUUGUCCAUUUCCAAGUCAUUUCCUACAAUAUACUGAUCGUAUACCCACAUUGGGAAGUAGAUUUGGCUUGAAUGCUCUACCGUUGGAUUCAAAUUCCUCCUUCUGCUUGCCAUUUCCAUCAACAACAUUCCAAAACUAUAGACAUCUGACUUAUAUGAGACGCCUCCAAUAUUUUUGUAGAACAACUCAGGAGCAAUAUAUCCCAGUGUACCCCGUGCUGCUGUCAAAGAGACAAUGCUAUUAUCUACAUGAUACAAUUUUGCAAGCCCAAAGUCAGAAACCUUUGCUUUAAAGUUCUCAUCAAGAAGGAUGUUAUGAGGCUUGAUGUCGAAAUGUAGAAUUUGCAUUUCGCAACCUUGGUGUAGAUAUUCGAUCCCUUGAGCCACUCCAAGAGAAAUCUCGUACAUGUUCUUGAUAGUUAAGGGGACACUUCCUUCUUUGGAAUAAAUGUAUUUAUCAAGAGAACCAUUAGGCAUGAAGUCAUAGACUAGAGCGCGUUUUGAUCCCUCAACAUAGUAUCCAACAAGUUGCACCACAUUGGCAUGGUGAAUCCUUCCGAUUGUAGCUAAUUCGCUAAUGAAAUCUUGGCCAUCAGCUUUGGGCUUGGCCAAAACUUUAACUGCUACAAAUCGACCACUGCGUAGCUUUCCCUUAAAUACAGAGCCAAAGCCACCUUUGCCCAACUUGUCCUUAAACUUGCGAGUCAUUUUCUUGACGUCCGAGUAAGAGUACCUUAUAGGCAUGAAGUUGUUAUUGCAUUGCAGAAAAUCUUCUAUUGUGCUAUACAUUGAUAAAUGUCUUCUGCGCCAUGUGUAGAUUAGAAAUGCAGUCACAAUUGGAACUCCAAAAACAAAUCUGGCUAGGAAAAAUAACCCUACAUGCAUUGACAUUAAUAUGUUAGAUCCACUGCGUACUACUUUUUCUUCCCUUUCUUUCCAAAUUACUUUGUCUUUGAUGUAAUUAAAGAGAGAAUGGGAAAUGUACAUAUGUUGAUAAUACAAUCUCGUCUUAGUCCUUACCGAUGCAUAUGAGUAUAAACCAUACACGUACUGCAACAAAAUCAAUCGACUAUGAGUUUGAAAAGUGCAUAAAGUGAAAAAAAAAUAAAAAAAAUCAAAGGGUGCCUUUAUUGACAUCCAAAUUUUAGUUAGUUUUACUCAACUAAAAAAUUUUUGUCAUCAAACUUUUUAAUUUGCCGUCGAAAUUGAGUUCACCCAACCCACAAAGCAGCAACUACCACUCACCAAAAAAACCAACAACACACAGCCACCAGUACCAUUCACCAAUAGAAAGAGAAGGAACACACAGACCCACCAAGGAGCCGGCAUCGACGCGUCUACGAGGGAGGGACCGGAGGGUGGUGUAGUUUUGUUGGGCGCGCGGUAGUGGUUUUGUCUGUUCAUUUUCUCUUUGUUUUGGUAGGUGGAGGCUGGUGUGGAUUUGGGCGAACUUAAAAAUGAGGGGAAACUAUGAAGUUUGACAAAAUGUUUUAGUUAGGUGAACUUCACUAAAAUUUGGGUGCCGAUAAAGAUACCCAAAAUCAAAAGACUAGAUGGACUAAUUAAAUGAAGCUCUUACCCAUAUAUAACGAUGGACGCAACUUGCCAGCUGCUGCAGUACAUACCACGGAAAAGUGAGCAAAGACAUACAGUUACUAGGUUUAAGAAGUACAGAUAGAGCACACAAAAAAUAAAAGAAGCUUUUGGGAAGAAACUUCUUACGCAAAUAGAUUUUUUUCAUGACCUACAGUAAAAAAAUGUCAAGAAGAAUACACAACAUUAGCAAUAGCUCACCCAGUCUUCAAAAUUUAAAAAAUCAAGUUUGUCGAUCGAAAACUUGUAAAUAAAACAAAAAGAGGACCCCUUACCGAUUUGUUGCCAUAGAUAUUGAAAGAAACCUACAAGAACAAAGAAAGAACAAGACCACAUGCAUUAGAAUAACAAGUGUGAGGUGUAUAAGCCGUUAGAAAAUAAAUUUAAAAUUCUAGUGCUGUCAAUACAUUGAUAAUAUAUAUAUAUAUAUAUAUAUAUAUAUAUAUAUGUAUGUAUGUAUUAUUUUUUCUGAAAAUUUAACUUUUCCCGUCCAAACUCAUUUUUCUAGUCUCUAGCCCAACAUAUAAUAUUUAUCUGAAUAAAACCAAAUGAUUAGGAUCCAACUAAGAAACUUACCAAAUUAAGUUUGUGUGUCCAUUUUUAUAUUUUUUGGAUCCCUAAUAUACCCCAUCUAAGCCAGUAUGGAAAGGUCUUGUAAUUUUGCUUUAAGUGAUUACGUGCAUUGAAUUUGGCAAGGUCUUAUAGCCAUGAAAUAUGGUUCUAGAUGGAGGAAUUAAUUUGGAAUUUUUUUUAAUUUCGACAACAAAUUUCAAUUUGAAUAUACCUAAUUUAGUGUUUAUUUUCAACAAUAAAUGUGCCUACUUUUUAAAUUUGUAACAAAAUUAAUUUACCUACUUUUUAUGGUAUUAGUGACACACCCUGUCCCGAAGGAGGGCAUGCUGGCCGUCACGAGAGAGUGACGUAACCAUUUGCACAGUACGGAAGCUUUAAGAUACAAUUUAUAAGUUGAUACACCCGAAGGUGAGUCCUAAUUUUUGUCCAAUCUGUCAGAACACCGUCAAAUUCCUCGUAGUCACCACACCUUUGUGAUUCCUGAACCUGGAGGGGCGCAAAACCAAAAUUGAGUGGGUCAGUAAAACAAUUCUUUUCCAAAUCCAAACAUUUCUCAAAACGUUGUAACCCUCUCCGUAAAACUUGUAUACUUUCCCAGAAAUGUAAAAUAUAAAUAUACAUAUAUAUUCUCAAACUUCAUUUUUACUAUCUCAACAUUUUUCUUUAUCAAACAUGCCAUGCCAUGUCUAAUUCAACAGUUAAGUAUGGAUGCAUCAACAAUAAUCAUAUCAGGUGCAAGAAAGUAAUCAACCGGAGGCCCUCUAAUAGCCCUGUACGGUUGAACCUAGAGCUCAAAAUCUAUCACUCUCACUCUGCCGGGAGUCACCUCUGUGACCUGUCCGGCCUUCUGCACACAAGUUACGCUCUAGUGCUUUCUCAUCAAUCAUCUGUGCACAUAAUCUAAGGUCACCCACCAGUCGAAAUCUCACUAACACUCUUCGACUGGCCCGUCGCACCCACUCCGCGUGGACUGUGCGACCAGCAUCUACUUGGAUCCAAGGCGAGCGUGCGAUGCGGUGAAUACUAUAAGCACUAAACCAUGGUGCAGGAUUUGAGCUCAAUAUAUAUCAACAUCAUCAUAACAGUACUUAAAUACUCACCUGAUACUCACCUGUGCGUCCGCCGCACCAAUUCAUACAUAUGCAUCAUAUUUCAAUUCAUAUCAUUUCAUGCAUGGCAAUUCGAUUCACAUUUCUAUAUACAUUUCAUAUACUUCUAUGCAUGACCUUUCAAUUCACGUUUUCAUAUAAUUCUAUAUACCUUUCAUUUAAAACAUAAUUUCAUUCUAAUUCAAUUUCUGGGAAAACGUCAAGUAUAUAUAUACGGAAAACAAAACUGCCCACUCACCUGGAGUUCGUCCAACAACUCCCUAGCACCACACAUCAAGGCGUCAUGACGAUCGCCGUCUAGAACAGUAAUCAAAUCCAGCCUCAGAAUUCAUAUCGAUAGAACAUAUAACUUAUAUAAAAUAUGUCACUACGUAGAUCGAUCCGGAAGAUCUGCCACUCAGAUUUUAAAUCCAUAACUUCCAGAGGUCCACAAUAUAUCUCUAGGAUAACAUCCUAAAAUUUCAUUACCAUCCAACGGUCGGAUCUCCGUCAAUUUCCAAAACUAAGUGACGGUUAACAUUUUAUUUUAUGAACUUACAAUUCUAAUUCCGGAAGAUCCGUAACUCGGAUUCCCAAUCCGUAAGUUCCAAUAAUCCUCAAAUAUUACGUAUUACAACGUAUCAAAGUUUGGUAACGAUCCAACGGUCGGAUCAUCAAUUCACAUUUUCACCUAAUGCGAAAACUAUAAAACGUUAUUCGAACACCUAACCAACAAUCCUUAAUAACUUUCUCAUACGGUGUUCAAUUUGGGUAUAUGAAUAUACCACAGUGAUCUACUCAUUAAAAUAAUUUUUUACUGUAGCACGCGCCCCCACGCGCCAAGGAAGGCACGGACCUACGCGCCCCCACGCGCACCUUCUUCUUCCUUGGGUCGCCGGACUGGUUUUUCCGGCGGCCGUUUUUCAAAUUGCCAUAACUUUGUCAUUUCUCAACGAAAUCAAGUGAUUCAAAAACGAAAGUUGUAGCCCUUGAAGAGACAAAGAGAAUGGUACCUUGCACAACACCUAGUUCGCCGUGGUUUGGCCGGAAACUGCUUCGAAAGCCUCGGAGGUCGCCAGAAACUGGGUAUUUUUCAAAUCAGUAUAACUUCUUCAAUACUCAACGAAAUUGAGUGAAACAAAAAGGAAAGUUGUAGUACUUGACGAGACGAAGAGAUUGAUACCUACCUCGACUCCUAACUCACCGGAUAUUCGCCGGAAAAUGCCUCGAAAGCUCCGGCCAAACUUUGAACUUGUCGAUCUCCGUGUUCUUACAUCCAAAAACUUCCAACGAAGCACUCCGAGCUUCCUUGGGACCUCACUAAGCUCGCUAUGAUCUUGUUUUAGCCUAAAACGUAGUCAUUUAGAAGAUCAUGAACAAUACCAUUUCACGGGAACUUUGAAACUAGGGUUUUCCGAAGCAAAACUUACCUGAAAUGGAUACCAUCGUGAUCGUGGAGGUUCCAGGAGUUUGAUGGUGGUCUUAACUCUGUCGUUGGUGGAAGUUUAAGGUUGUUUUGUGGUUGGUUUGUUCGAACGGAGAAGAAGAGUGACAGAGAGAGUGAGAGAGUCGUGAGGGAAGAGAGAGAGAGACAGCAUGCAGAAAAUAGGGAGAGGAUUGAGGGGUGUGGGGAUCCCACGUGGUCCUUUUCCAAUCCCCAACUCCAAACCAUAAAAUUUUAACCUAAAAAUCUAAGUUCAAUCCUUAAUAAAUUCCAUUUUAUUUUCAAAACUUAGGAACCUAGAUAAUUAUCAACUUGAGCUUCACAUACUUAGUAUUUCUUAAGGGCAAUUUCGUUCAUUCACAGCCACGAAUGUAAUAUUUUGGAACGGGCUGUGACAAUUAGUAUACAUAAAUGUAGAAUAUAUGUCCGUAUAUAUUUGAUCCAAUUAGUAUUAGGGAGAAUGACAAGUCAUCCAAGUCUGCUACUGUUAAUAAUUCUGUUACUGUAAAUUAACUGAUUGUAUUAGUUGUGAUUAGUUAAGAUAGUUAUAAAGUAGUUAGGGGUAUCUAUGUAAAUAGCCAAAGGCUAUAUAUAUUCCUACACAAUGUGUAAAGUUCUCAGUCAAGUAAAUACAAUCAAGAAAACUUACUGUUGAAGUUUUCUGUUUCUACAUGGUAUCACGCCAUUCCGCUUCACAGCUUCGAUCUUUCUCUUCGCUUGCUGCAUCGAUCGACUCUUGAUCGAUUUUUCUUCUCUGAUCUUCUCUUCGCUUGCUGCAUCGAUCGACUCAUGAUCGAUUUUUCUUCUCUGAUCGUCACUUCUUCCCUUCCGAUCUUGUAGUAUUUUCUUGAUUUCUGUCAGUAAUGGCGGCUCAAUCGACUGGUUCAUCUUCUCCGGUCAUCUCCCCCUCGAGCCCAAACCCUAAUUUUCUCUGGAAACCCUAAUUCCUCUGGAAAUCCGAGUCCUCUGACUUCCUACACUUCUCUCUCACAAUUCAUAACAUCGGCAGCAUGGUGCCGAUCAAGCUCAAAAGAUCCAAUUACCUACCAUGGCGCGCCCUGUUUGGCCCGAUUUUCCGGCGAUACAAGCUUCUUGGAGUAAUCGAUGGUACUGACGUCUGUCCAUCGCCAUUUCUGCCUGAUCGUAGCAUCAAUCCUGCUUUUGAGGACUGGUAUGAGAAAGAUCAAAAUCUUUUUGAUCUGGUUGAAUUCCACACUUUCUGAGGAAAUCAUCCCGUUCACGGUUGGGGUUUCAUCCUCUCGAGAACUUUGGGUAAAGCUUGAACAGCGCUUUGGUGGAAUUUCAGAGGCUCAUAUCCAUCAGUUGCGAUCGCGCCUUCAAUCUGUUCAGAAAGGAUCGCGUUCUAUCUCUGACUAUCUUCAAGAACUCAAGGAAAUUUCAGAUUCUCUGCAAGCUGCUGGUGCUUCUGUCUCUGAUCGAGAUCUUAUCGCCGCCACACUACAUGGCUUGCCUGAUGAAUUUGAGUCUUUCAUCGACUGUAUCAUGCUCCGAUUGUCCUCUACCUCUCUGAUGAACUUCAUGGCCUCCUUCUCACAAAGGAAUUGUCUAUGGCCAGACGCAAAACUGUCAGUUCAUCUCCUGUCCCUGAAUCUUUUCAGGCUUUCUCGGUGCAGUCUCAGCCUCAUCUCCUUCCUACUCCAUCUGCUUUUGCUGCUCAGAAUCUCCCUCUUCAAUCUGCAUCUCGGUUCAACUCUAAUCGUGGCAGGAACACUAAGGGCCAGUUCUUUUCCAAUCGAGGUCAUCGAGGUAAUCGUGGUAAUUUUCCUAAUAAACCGUGGCAAUCGAGGUUAUCAAGGAUUUCGCAGCAAUCAAGGCUCUUCUCACUUCAAAGUGCUUUGUCAAAUCUGUGGUUCUACCAGUCAUGAGGCUAUUGACUGCUUUGAUCGUAUGAAUCCUGACAUCUUGUGGUCGUAUUCCUCCAGCUAAGCUUGCUGCCAUGUGUGCCACAACAUUCUGCUAAACCAUCUCAGCCUUGGUUAAUUGAUUCAGGGGCAACCUCUCAUAUCACUAAUGAUGUUGCUAACCUCACCUCUCCUACUCCCUACACUGGCGAGGAUUAAAGUGUAUAUUGGAGAUGGUAAAGGUUUAUCCAUCCUCAAUGUUGGUUCAUCUACUCUGCACACCUCUCAUAAUUCUUUUCAAUUGCGAAAUGUUUUACAUGUUCCCCACAUAACCCAUAAUCUUAUCUGCUUAUCAGUUUUGUUAAUGAUAAUAAUUGUUCAUUGACACUUGACCCUUAUGGAUCCUAUGUCAAGGAUCGUAUUUCGGGGAAGAUGCUUUUACGGGGACCGGUUAGAGAUGGCUUCUAUCCUCUUCAAAGUUCCAGCAAUCUUCAUCCUCUUUCACAUACCGCUUUACUUAGUAUUAAAGCUCCAGUUACAAUUUGGCACAAGCGUUUGGGUCACCCUUCCUCCUCCAUUUUUAGAAGGCUCCUUUCAUCCAAUAAUCUUGCUUUACAAGGCAAGUCUACUGUGGACUUUUUCUGUUCGGAUUGUGCUCUUGCCAAGAAUCAUAAGCUUCCAUUUAAAGCUGCUACUUCAUCAUCAACUCACAGCCUUCAACUACUGCACUGUGAUCUGUGGGGACCUGCCUCAAUCACAUCAAGUAGUGGUUUUCAAUAUUAUUUGCUCAUUGUUGAUGACUAUAGCAAAUAUAGUUGGUUCUUUCCUUUGAAAUCUAAGUCAGAUGUAUUUUCUACAUUUGUUGUCUUCAAAUCAUAUGUAGAAAAUUCACUUGGAAAUAAAAUAAAGGUUCUGCGUUCAGAUUCAGGGGGUGAAUUUACUAGUCACUCUUUUGCAUCAUAUCUCAGCAAACAUGGCAUUCUUCAUCAGUUCAGUUGUCCCCACACCCCUGAGCAAAAUGGUUGUGCAGAAAGAAAGCACAGGCACCUUGUUGAAAACAGCUCGCACUUUGCUUCUUGCAUUCUCAUGUCCCUCAUAUUUUCUGGGUUGAAGCAUUCUCCACUGCUAUCUAUCUUAUUAAUCGCCUUCCUAUUUCUGGCAUUUCACAGUCCCCUUGGCAGUUGCUAUUUCACAACCAUCCAGACUACUCUAAGCUCAAAGUAUUUGGUUGCCAAUGCUUUCCUUGGCUCAAACCUUACUUUCAUAGCAAAUUGGAUCCCAAGAGCAAAAAGUGUGUUUUCUUGGGGUAUAGUCUUCAACACAAAGGCUAUAGGUGCCUUGAUCCUAUCACCAAUCGCAUCUACAUCUCUCGUCAUGUCUGUAUUCGAUGAAAGUACUUAUCCAUUUCAGUUGUCCCACAUUCAACACUCUUUUCCUGUUCCAAGUCCUCCAUCUUCCUCACCAACAAUUUCUUCCUCUCUGGAUCUUCAUUUUUUAGCAAACACAUUCCUCCUGUUUUCAGUCAGCCAUCUACAUCACCAUUAUGUGCUUCUGUGCCUGUUCCUAUUUCUUCAUCUUCAUCUUCCCCUGCACCUGUCUCAGUUGGCUCUUCUUUCCAGUUUUGUUCCUCCUUCAGCACAUUCAUCUUUCUCCCAAAAUCAACAGAGUCAUCCUCCUGCCCCUGUUAAUUCUCAUCCAAUGAUUACUAGAUCCAAGGCUGGUAUACUCACGUCGAGAGCCUGUGCAGCAACUAAGCACCCACUUCCGGUUGAUAUGGAUUAUGUUCCUACAACAUACUUGCAAGCUUCUAAGCAUGCUCAUUGGAGGCAAGCUAUGCAAGAUGAAUUUAAUGCCUUGCUAACCACUGGUUACUUUGGUCUCUUGUUCCUUCUCACCAUUCUCAAAACUUAGUGGGCUGCAAGUGGGUUUUCCGGAUUAAGAAGAAGCCCGAUGGCACUGUUGACAGAUAUAAAGCCCGGCUUGUGGCCAAGGGUUUUCAUCAACAAGAAGGUAUUGACUUUUCAAGAAAACCUUCAGUCCAGUUGCCAAACCGGUUACAAUUCGGAUCCUUCUUACCCUUUGCUGUGCAAUAUAAUUGGUUUCUCAAUCAAUUGGACAUUAGUAAUGCCUUUCUUCAUGGAGACUUAAAGAGAGGAUGUCUACAUGCAACAACCCCCUGGUUUUGUUGAUCCCUUUACCCUACAUUUUGUAAGUUGAGGAAAUCGUUGUAUGGUCUCAAACAAGCUCCUCGAGCUUGGUUUGAUAAACUGUUCCAAGCUCUUCCUCUCUUGGAUUCACCCAAUCAUCCUCAGAUGCUUCUUUAUUUGUUCUCAAUGGUCCUCAGUUUAGUCAUUGUCCUUGUCUAUGUUGAUGACAUUCUUGUCACCGGACCCUAUCCUUACCUCUGUCAACACUUCAUUCAGCAACUUGGGGCUCAAUUUCCAGUAAAAGACCUUGGUCCUCUUCAUUAUUUCUUGGGAUUAGAAGUACAUCGAUCUUCCCAGGGUAUAUUUCUCCAUCAAACAAAGUACUUAUUGGAUCUUCUCAAGAAAACAAAUAUGGAGGGUGCAAAACCUUGUUGUACUCCCCUUGGCUCUAAGAAAUUAGAUCACAGUGGCCCUCUUCUGUCCAAUCCUACUGAAUAUCGCUCCAUUGUUGGUGGUUUACAAUAUCUUACUUGGACUAGACCCGACCUUGCUUUUGCUGUGAACCAAAUCUGCCAAUUCAUGCAUGCUCCCAGGGAACAACAUCUCCAGGCAGCAAAAAGGGUUCUCAGAUUUCUCAAAGGCUCUAUCUCACAUGGUGUGUGGUUCACUAAAGGCCCUGUCCAUCUUUCUGCCUACUCGGAUGCCGACUGGGCUGGUUGCACAAUUGACAGGAGAUCAACCACUGGUUAUUGUGUAUUUUUGGGUUCCAAUCUUAUCAGCUGGAGUGCCAAGAAGCAAAGUACUGUUGCCAAGGUCCUCUACAGAGGCUGAAUAUCGCUCCUUAGCUCACACAGCUGCUGAGAUAACUUGGGUUUGCAGAUUCUCAAAGAUCUGCACUAUCCUCUCUCUUACAUUCCCUACUUUUGGUGUGACAACAUAUCAGCAAUAUCUUUAGCAUCUAAUCCUGUCUUUCAUGCUCGAACAAAGCAUGUUGAGAUCGAUUAUCNGAAGUUUUCUGUUUUCUACAUGGUAUCACGCCAUUCCGCUUCACAGCUUCGAUCUUUCUCUUCGCUUGCUGCAUCGAUCGACUCUUGAUCGAUUUUUCUUCUCUGAUCUUCUCUUCGCUUGCUGCAUCGAUCGACUCAUGAUCGAUUUUUCUUCUCUGAUCGUCACUUCUUCCCUUCCGAUCUUGUAGUAUUUCUUGAUUUCUGUCAGUAAUGGCGGCUCAAUCGACUGGUUCAUCUUCUCCGGUCAUCUCCCCCUCGAGCCCAAACCCUAAUUUCUCUGGAAACCCUAAUUCCUCUGGAAAUCCGAGUCCUCUGGACUUCCUACACUUCUCUCACAAUUCAUAACAUCGGCAGCAUGGUGCCGAUCAAGCUCAAAAGAUCCAAUUACCUACCAUGGCGCGGCCCUGUUUGGCCCGAUUUUCCGGCGAUACAAGCUUCUUGGAGUAAUCGAUGGUACUGACGUCUGUCCAUCGCCAUUUCUGCCUGAUCGUAGCAUCAAUCCUGCUUUUGAGGACUGGUAUGAGAAAGAUCAAAAUCUUUUGAUCUGGUUGAAUUCCACACUUUCUGAGGAAAUCAUCCCGUUCACGGUUGGGGUUUCAUCCUCUCGAGAACUUUGGGUAAAGCUUGAACACAGCGCUUUGGUGGAAUUUCAGAGGCUCAUAUCCAUCAGUUGCGAUCGCGCCUUCAAUCUGUUCAGAAAGGAUCGCGUUCUAUCUCUGACUAUCUUCAAGAACUCAAGGAAAUUUCAGAUUCUCUGCAAGCUGCUGGUGCUUCUGUCUCUGAUCGAGAUCUUAUCGCCGCCACACUACAUGGCUUGCCUGAUGAAUUUGAGUCUUUCAUCGACUGUAUCAUGCUCCGAUUGUCCUCUACCUCUCUUGAUGAACUUCAUGGCCUCCUUCUCACAAAGGAAUUGUCUAUGGCCAGACGCAAAAACUGUCAGUUCAUCUUCCUGUCCCUGAAUCUUUUCAGGCUUUCUCGGUGCAGUCUCAGCCUCAUCUCCUUCCUACUCCAUCUGCUUUUGCUGCUCAGAAUCUCCCUCUUCAAUCUGCAUCUCGGUUCAACUCUAAUCGUGGCAGGAACACUAAGGGCCAGUUCUUUUCCAAUCGAGGUCAUCGAGGUAAUCGUGGUAAUUUUCCUAAUAACCGUGGCAAUCGAGGUUAUCAAGGAUUUCGCAGCAAUCAAGGCUCUUCUCACUUCAAAGUGCUUUGUCAAAUCUGUGGUUCUACCAGUCAUGAGGCUAUUGACUGCUUUGAUCGUAUGAAUCCUGACAUCUGUGGUCGUAUUCCUCCAGCUAAGCUUGCUGCCAUGUGUGCACAACAUUCUGCUAAACCAUCUCAGCCUUGGUUAAUUGAUUCAGGGGCAACCUCUCAUAUCACUAAUGAUGUUGCUAACCUCACCUCUCCUACUCCCUACACUGGCGAGGAUAAAGUGUAUAUUGGAGAUGGUAAAGGUUUAUCCAUCCUCAAUGUUGGUUCAUCUACUCUGCACACCUCUCAUAAUUCUUUUCAAUUGCGAAAUGUUUUACAUGUUCCCCACAUAACCCAUAAUCUCUUAUCUGCUUAUCAGUUUGUUAAUGAUAAUAAUUGUUCAUUGACACUUGACCCUUAUGGAUCCUAUGUCAAGGAUCGUAUUUCGGGGAAGAUGCUUUUACGGGGACCGGUUAGAGAUGGCUUCUAUCCUCUUCAAAGUUCCAGCAAUCUUCAUCCUCUUUCACAUACCGCUUUACUUAGUAUUAAAGCUCCAGUUACAAUUUGGCACAAGCGUUUGGGUCACCCUUCCUCCUCCAUUUUUAGAAGGCUCCUUUCAUCCAAUAAUCUUGCUUUACAAGGCAAGUCUACUGUGGACUUUUUCUGUUCGGAUUGUGCUCUUGCCAAGAAUCAUAAGCUUCCAUUUAAAGCUGCUACUUCAUCAUCAACUCACAGCCUUCAACUACUGCACUGUGAUCUGUGGGGACCUGCCUCAAUCACAUCAAGUAGUGGUUUUCAAUAUUUAUUUGCUCAUUGUUGAUGACUAUAGCAAAUAUAGUUGGUUCUUUCCUUUGAAAUCUAAGUCAGAUGUAUUUUCUACAUUUGUUGUCUUCAAAUCAUAUGUAGAAAAUUCACUUGGAAAUAAAAUAAAGGUUCUGCGUUCAGAUUCAGGGGGUGAAUUUACUAGUCACUCUUUUGCAUCAUAUCUCAGCAAACAUGGCAUUCUUCAUCAGUUCAGUUGUCCCCACACCCCUGAGCAAAAUGGUUGUGCAGAAAGAAAGCACAGGCACCUUGUUGAAACAGCUCGCACUUUGCUUCUUGCAUCUCAUGUCCCUCAUAUUUUCUGGGUUGAAGCAUUCUCCACUGCUAUCUAUCUUAUUAAUCGCCUUCCUAUUUCUGGCAUUUCACAGUCCCCUUGGCAGUUGCUAUUUCACAACCAUCCAGACUACUCUAAGCUCAAAGUAUUUGGUUGCCAAUGCUUUCCUUGGCUCAAACCUUACUUUCAUAGCAAAUUGGAUCCCAAGAGCAAAAAGUGUGUUUUCUUGGGGUAUAGUCUUCAACACAAAGGCUAUAGGUGCCUUGAUCCUAUCACCAAUCGCAUCUACAUCUCUCGUCAUGUUGUAUUCGAUGAAAGUACUUAUCCAUUUCAGUUGUCCCACAUUCAACACUCUUUUCCUGUUCCAAGUCCUCCAUCUUCCUCACCAACAAUUUCUUCCUCUCUGGAUCUUCAUUUUAGCAAACACAUUCCUCCUGUUUUCAGUCAGCCAUCUACAUCACCAUUAUGUGCUUCUGUGCCUGUUCCUAUUUCUUCAUCUUCAUCUUCCCCUGCACCUGUCUCAGUUGGCUCUUCUUCCAGUUUUGUUCCUCCUUCAGCACAUUCAUCUUUCUCCCAAAAUCAACAGAGUCAUCCUCCUGCCCCUGUUAAUUCUCAUCCAAUGAUUACUAGAUCCAAGGCUGGUAUACUCACGUCGAGAGCCUGUGCAGCAACUAAGCACCCACUUCCGGUUGAUAUGGAUUAUGUUCCUACAACAUACUUUGCAAGCUUCUAAAGCAUGCUCAUUGGAGGCAAGCUAUGCAAGAUGAAUUUAAUGCCUUGCUAACCACUGGUUACUUGGUCUCUUGUUCCUUCUCACCAUUCUCAAAACUUAGUGGGCUGCAAGUGGGUUUUCCGGAUUAAGAAGAAGCCCGAUGGCACUGUUGACAGAUAUAAAGCCCGGCUUGUGGCCAAGGGUUUUCAUCAACAAGAAGGUAUUGACUUUCAAGAAAACCUUCAGUCCAGUUGCCAAACCGGUUACAAUUCGGAUCCUUCUUACCCUUGCUGUGCAAUAUAAUUGGUUUCUCAAUCAAUUGGACAUUAGUAAUGCCUUUCUUCAUGGAGACUUAAAGGAGGAUGUCUACAUGCAACAACCCCCUGGUUUUGUUGAUCCCUUACACCCUACAUCUGUUUGUAAGUUGAGGAAAUCGUUGUAUGGUCUCAAACAAGCUCCUCGAGCUUGGUUUGAUAAACUGUUCCAAGCUCUUCACUCUCUUGGAUUCACCCAAUCAUCCUCAGAUGCUUCUUUAUUUGUUCUCAAUGGUCCUCAGUUUAGUCAUUGUCCUUGUCUAUGUUGAUGACAUUCUUGUCACCGGACCCUAUCCUUACCUCUGUCAACACUUCAUUCAGCAACUUGGGGCUCAAUUUCCAGUAAAAGACCUUGGUCCUCUUCAUUAUUUCUUGGGAUUAGAAGUACAUCGAUCUUCCCAGGGUAUAUUUCUCCAUCAAACAAAGUACUUAUUGGAUCUUCUCAAGAAAACAAAUAUGGAGGGUGCAAAACCUUGUUGUACUCCCCUUGGCUCUAAGAAAUUAGAUCACAGUGGCCCUCUUCUGUCCAAUCCUACUGAAUAUCGCUCCAUUGUUGGUGGUUUACAAUAUCUUACUUGGACUAGACCCGACCUUUGCUUUUGCUGUGAACCAAAUCUGCCAAUUCAUGCAUGCUCCCAGGGAACAACAUCUCCAGGCAGCAAAAAGGGUUCUCAGAUUUCUCAAAGGCUCUAUCUCACAUGGUGUGUGGUUCACUAAAGGCCCUGUCCAUCUUUCUGCCUACUCGGAUGCCGACUGGGCUGGUUGCACAAUUGACAGGAGAUCAACCACUGGUUAUUGUGUAUUUUUGGGUUCCAAUCUUAUCAGCUGGAGUGCCAAGAAGCAAAGUACUGUUGCAAGGUCCUCUACAGAGGCUGAAUAUCGCUCCUUAGCUCACACAGCUGCUGAGAUAACUUGGGUUUGCAAGAUUCUCAAAGAUCUGCACUAUCCUCUCUCUACAUUCCCUACUCUUUGGUGUGACAACAUAUCAGCAAUAUCUUUAGCAUCUAAUCCUGUCUUUCAUGCUCGAACAAAGCAUGUUGAGAUCGAUUAUCACUAUAUUAGAGAAUUGGUUUUGGCUCAACUUCUCAAAGUCAAGUUCAUCUGCAGUGAAGACCAAUUAGCUGAUCUUCACACCAAGUCUCUGUCUAAAACCAGAUUUAAUUAUCUGUGUUCCAAGCUUCCCAUUGGUCUCAUUUCUGAUCCCCCUUCUCGCUUGAGGGGGUGUAUUAGGGAGAAUGACAAGUCAUCCAAGUCUGCUACUGUUAAUAAUUCUGUUACUGUAAAUUAACUGAUUGUAUUAGUUGUGAUUAGUUAAGAUAGUUAUAAAGUAGUUAGGGGUAUCUAUGUAAAUAGCCAAAGGCUAUAUAUAUUCCUACACAAUGUGUAAAGUUCUCAGUCAAGUAAAUACAAUCAAGAAAACUUACUGUUGAAGUUUUCUGUUUCUACAGGUUUUGGAUUGGAGGAGUUGACACAAAAUUAUAAAUAUAUUAAACAAAUUUAUCUAUUCUAAAGUUGGAGGGAAAUUGGCCUGUACAUUGCUACAGUAAUUUUUUUUUACCCAAUUUCACGUUAUUUACAACAAAGCUAUCAGAUUUGGGUUGGGUUGGAGGGUAAUUUGUUAAAAGUUAGGAGGGUAAUUUUGUGCAUAGGGUUUAGGUGCCCUCCUAUACAUGACCCUUGAUUUUACUUUAUUUACACCACUGCCAUCAAAUAUGUGGCUGAAUUGGAGGGUAUUAUUAAAAGUUAGGAGGGUAGUUUGUUCAAGGGGUGAGGGCGACAUUCGCAGACAGAGAGCGAUGGGAGCCAUGGCCAUUGCACAGAGAGAAAGGGAGUGAUGGGGGAAAUUACAGACAGAAAAGGAAGGGAUGGGGGGGAUUUGAUGGAUGGUCACAGAGAGAGAUUGGGUGAGGGAUGUGAGAGGAGAUUACAGAGAGAUAAAUAAAAGGGAGGGAUCGGGGGAUGUGAGGGAUGGUCAGGGAGAGAAAUAGUGAGGGAGGGAGGGAUGGGGGGGCUGAUUUUCGGUUCCUCCUUCCAGAUUUGUUCCGUAAAAACCUGUUGGGUAGAAUUCAAUUUCCUCCCCCUUUCCCCUGAACGAAAAAUUCGAAACCUACAACUCAAAACUCACUCAUUUGUCGUCCCUCCUUGGCUUUCCGCUUUACUCAUCUCCCGGUGGUUCUCUCUCCAUACGAUUCCAUUUCGGUGAGUUCUUCGUUGCCCUCAUGAUUUCCCACUUUUAUUUUUGGGGCGUCCUUAGUCGUCGUUUUUAUCUGGGUUUACUGCAUUGUUGCUUUUAGUUUCUGGAUUUUUAUUUUUUUGGCACUUGGAUGAAUCGUGGUUAAUAAUUUCACAUCAUGGGAUUUUCGCACUUCUGAUGGAAUUGAGCGCGGGGAUUCGGGGUGGGGUUUUACUGAUAAUUUGUCUUCAUUCAAACGAAGGGUUAAAAUUUAUGAGUAUUAACAAAUUUUGUAAAUUAUUCUUAUACAUUUUAUUGAGGGAUCUAAUCGAUUUCUUUCUGUAGUGGGAUUGAAAUUGGGGCUUUGUGGUACUCUCUCUCGCUCACUCUCUCUCCUAUGUGUAUGAAUUGAGUUCUGCAGUGAGUUUGCAGGUGGGCGCGUUCACUAACUAAGCUUUCAAGGGAACCGAUCAACGGUUUGCUUGCUGGGGGAAUUCGGAGACUACCAGUGUAUGAUUUAGUUAUCAUUAAUUUUUUUACUUAAUUUUAUCCAUAUAUAAUAUGUGGGUAAAUUUAGAGGUCGCACUUGGUGCGAUGGCAAGUUCCUUCGCCCAUGAGCGGUAGGUCUCGGGUUCGAGACUUGGGAGCAGCCUCUCCAUAAAUGGGGGUAAGGCUAGCCGACAUUUACCUCUCCCAGACCCUGCGUAAAGCGGGAGCCUUGUGCACUGGGUACGAUCUUUUAUAAUAUGUGGGUAAAUUUAUACUAAACAAUUGUGAUAAGCCAAUAUGCUAUACGACUUUGAAAGCAUUGAUUUUGUGUUUAGUUUGCAUUUUUGCAUUGUGAAUGUUGAAUUUUGUGUUUAAUUUGGAUUUUUGUGUUUGAAUUUGUAGCAUGAUCUUCCGCUGCAGCAUCCAAAUUUUGCAUUUGUAAAUUGUCAAAGAAAAACGAAGUAUGAGGAAAUUAUAGGAGAUUGUGUCGGCUUUGGCCAUGAAGGGUAUCAGCAGCUUGUUCCCCCAUACAGGUGAUUAAUCGCAGUCUGUUCUAUUUGGAUGAGAAAGUGAUUGAAAAAUAUGAUUUUUUAUUUGUUGGUUGAUUUUGUAUAACUCCGCCGUGUAAGUUUAUCUUACAUUGCCGGUCCCAAGCCCGGAUAAAGGAGGAGGGGGAGGGCGUCAGGUAGUCGACAGCUGGCACUCCAUGAUCACGUCGAAUCCUUAUGAAAAUGAAUCCAGAACGAAAUCGCGCUAAAGCUAGGGCGUCACCCAUAAGUGGCGCGCUGUGUGGCCCGAGCACAGUGAUAAGUGAGCAAGGGUCGUUGUAUCUCCAUCGGCACCCGGAUGCAGUGUUAAAUGAGCAAGGGGCUAUAGAAACUUCUUUUCGAACGACUCCACUCAAAGUUGUUUGGGAGCAUAUGCUCCUAUCAACUUUACACGGGACACACAAAAGAAGUACUUUGAUCCUAUUAGACGGGGAAGGGUGAAGAAGCUAGGACAGAAGGGUAGAGUUCAAGAGAGCAAAAUGCGUUUAGGAACGUGGAAUAUAGGAACCUUGAACGGGAAAAUCUAUGGAAGUAGUAGAAGUUAUGGUGAGGAGAAGGAUAAAUAUUAUGUGCCUACAAGAAACUAAGUGGGUUGGUCGUAAGGCAAAGGAUCUAGAAAACUCAGGGUUUAAACUAUGGUAUUCGGGCACAAAUAGAACGAGAAACGGUGUUGGCAUCAUCGUGGACAAGACCUUGACACAAGAUGUUGUAGAUGUCAAGAGGGUAGGAGAUAGAAUCAUGGCAAUCAAGAUUGUAAUAGGACAAGAACUUAUCAAUGUGAUUAGUGCGUACGCACCUCAAGUAGGGUUGGAUACGAGUUCGAAGGAGAAAUUUUGGGAAGACCUUGGAGACUUGGUGCAAGGAAUUGCUCAGACGGAGAAGUUAUUUAUAGGAGGAGAUUUAAAUGGACACGUGGGCAGGGAGACAGGCAACUAUGGAGGUUUUCAUGGUGGCCAUGGUUUUGGGGAGAGAAACGAGGAUGGGGAAGCUAUCUUGGAUUUUGCAAUGGCAUAUGAUCUCUUCUUAGCCAACACCUUCUUUAAGAAGAGAGAAGAACAUGUGAUCACCUACAAGAGUGGGUCGUCAAAAACACAAAUAGAUUUUCUUCUAAUGAGGAAAGGGGAUCGUAUAACUUGUAAGGAUUGCAAAGUUAUACCAGGAGAGAGCGUGGCUAAUCAACAUCGCUUGUUGGUGAUGGAUGUACAUAUCAAAAGAGUGAGAAAAAAGAACAAGACUUGGAAGUGCCCAAGGACUAGAUGGUGGAAUCUAAAAGAAGAAAAACAAGCCAUUUUCAAAGAGAAAGUAAUCACCCAGUGUGUGUGGGAUAGAGAGGGGGAAGCUAACCAAAUGUGGGAUUCCAUGGCUAGUUGUAUCCGAAAAGUAGCAAAAGAGGUAUUAGGAGAGUCCAAGGGCUUUGCCCCACACCAAAAGGAAUCUUGGUGGUGGAAUGAGGAGGUACAAACAAAGGUGAAGGCUAAGAAGGAAUGUUGUAAAGCCUUAUACAAGGAUAGGACCGAUGAAAAUGGUGAAAGGUAUAGAAAAGCGAAGCAAGAGGCGAAGAAAGCUGUGAGAGAAGCUAAGUUAGCGGCUUAUGACGAUAUGUAUAAGCGACUAGAUACCAAAGAAGGAGAGUUGGAUAUCUAUAAACUAGCUAGAGCAAGGGAAAAGAAGACAAGGGACCUAAACCAAGUGAGGUGCAUCAAGGAUGAGGAUGGAAAGGUUCUUGCUACAGAGAACGCGGUUAAAGACAGAUGGAAAGGUUAUUUUCAUAAUCUUUUCAAUGAAGGACAUGAAAGGAGUGCUUCUUUAGGGGAGUUGAGUAACUCAGAAGAGUGUAGAAACUACUCUUUUUAUCGUAGAAUCCGGAAGGAAGAAGUGGUUGUAGCUUUGAAGAAGAUGAAGCAUAGAAAAGCAGUAGGCCCAGACGAUAUACCAAUCGAAGUGUGGAAAGUUUUGGGAGAGACAGGUAUAACAUGGCUCACUGACCUUUUCAAUAGGAUUUUGAAAACGAAGAAGAUGCCAAAUGAGUGGCGAACGAGCACUUUGGUGCCUAUCUACAAGAAUAAGGGCGAUGUACAAAAUUGCAUGAACUAUAGGGGUAUUAAGCUAAUGAGUCAUACAAUGAAGCUCUGGGAGAGAGUCAUUGAGCAUAGAUUGAGGCAAGAGACACGGGUUUCGGACAACCAAUUCGGGUUCAUGCCAGGGCGCUCAACCAUGGAGGCAAUCUAUCUCUUACGAAGAUUGAUGGAAAGAUAUAGAGAUGGGAAAAAGGAUUUACACAUGGUCUUUAUAGAUUUGGAAAAAGCGUAUGAUAGGGUCCCAAGAGACAUUCUUUGGAGGAUUUUAGAGAAGAAAGGAGUACGAGUAGCAUAUAUCCAAGCUAUACAGGAUAUGUAUGAAGGAGCAAAGACUGCCGUAAGAACUCAUGAAGGACAAACCGAAAGCUUUCCCAUAACUGUAGGAUUACAUCAAGGCUCAUCCUUAAGUCCUUACCUUUUUGCGUUGGUAAUGGAUGAGUUAACAGGACAUAUUCAAGAUGAUAUUCCUUGGUGUAUGCUUUUCGCAGACGAUAUAGUGUUGAUAGAUGAAACUCAGGAAGGGGUAAAUGCAAAGCUUAACCUUUGGAGAGAAGUGUUGGAAUCUAAAGGUCUUCGCCUAAGCCGAUCAAAGACAGAAUAUAUGGAGUGCAAGUUCAGUGCAAAUGGAGGCCAAAACGAGUUAGGGGUGAGGAUCGGAGAUCAAGAAAAUACCAAAGAGCGACCGUUUUCGUUACCUAGGAUCUAUCUUGCAAAAGAACGGAGAAUUAGAUGGAGAUCUCAACCAUAGAAUACAAGCUGGAUGGAUGAAGUGGAAGAGUGCAUCCGGCGUGUUGUGUGACCGCCGUAUGCCACUGAAGCUCAAGGGAAAAUUUUAUAGGACGGCAAUAAGGCCGGCGAUGCUGUAUGGCACAGAAUGUUGGGCGGUGAAGCAUCAACACGUACACAAAAUGGGUGUAGCGGAGAUGAGGAUGCUUCGUUGGAUGUGUGGGCACACGAGAAAGGAUAAGAUUAGGAAUGAGGAUAUCCGGGGUAAAGUAGGAGUAGCCGAAAUUGAAGGAAAGAUGAGAGAAAAUCGGUUACGGUGGUUUGGACAUGUGCAAAGAAGGCCUACUGACGCUCCGAUUAGAAGAUGCGACUAUGGGACAGAGGUUCAGGGCCGAAGGGGUAGAGGAAGACCUAGGAAAACUUUGGAAGAGACCCUAAGAAAAGACUUAGAGUACUUGGAUCUAACGGAGGACAUGACACAGGACAGAACACAAUGGCGUUCUAAGAUUCAUAUAGCCGAUCCCACUCAGUGACUUGGAUUUUCCAAGUCUCCAACCGAGAAGUUUUCCUCACUCGGGAAAUUAAGGGAACACUACCUCAACCUACAUGCUCCACUCACAAAGCUUCAACAUACAAGCUUCAACAAAAGAAAAUUCAAAGAACUUAGCGAAGAAGGCUUUGGUGUAUUUAACACAAUACGUUGAAAUGAAGGAAAGCUUAUUUAUUGAUAUCCCCGAUAAGUUACAAAUAUGUACAUAUACUUGAGUCAAAAUAAACAAACAAGAGGGAGCCUUCACAAAGGUUGCUUAGGAGAAGUCUCAGCAGUCGGUAGAGCCCCAGAAAGAGAAGGCACCGGAGGGGGAUCAUUCGGAGCCUCAGUACUGGACAGAACCCUAGAAGGAGGAGGCAUCAGAGGUUGAUCAUUUGGAGCUUCAUUACGCGGUACAGCCCCAGAAGACGAAGGCAAUAAAUGCCUUUGGAACAAACCCACAAAUCUCUGAUGAUCAAGUAAAACCUGACCAUCAGAUUCCUUCAUCUGGUCAAGCUUCCUCUUCAUGUUUGUAGCAUAGUCAUGUGCGAGCCGGUGCAACUGUUUAUUCUCAUGCUUGAGCCCUCUAAUCUCCUGUUUGAGACUCAUCACUUCAGCCGCCAAUGAUUCAACUUGGCGGGUUCGAGCAAAUAGGCGUUGGGCCAUAUUAGACACAGAACCUGCACACUGAACACUGAGAGCCAGAGAAUCCUUAACAGCCAACUCAUCAGACCGUUUGGAAAGUAGUCUGUUAUCUUUGGGAGUGAGAAGGUUCCUGGCCACUACCGCAGCGGUCAUAUCAUUCUUCAUCACGGAAUCCCCAACGGUAAGAGGACCAGUAGGGGAGACGAAGGAUGGGCGCCAUAUGUUGUCUGGAGAAGGCGGGGCUGCCUCUUCAACAAGGUUCAAGUCAAAACGACGGUCGGAGGGGCCAGACAUUUUCAAAGGUGUUGAAGAGAGAAGAGGUCGGACAAAUCAAGAUCUUAGAAGUGCAAGAAUGGAGCUUCUACUGGUGGAUAUUCAAGUGUGCUUUGGAACUUAAUGUCAGCCCCUAUAAAAAUCUGCACUCGACGAAGCUUCAGAAAUCGAAGAGGCGCCUGCUCAGAAAUCGAAGAGGCGUUUGCUUUCUCAAAAGCUGGGCUGCUCAGAGACCACGAGGGUCGAUCUCAGAAAUCGAAGAGGCGUUUGCUUUCUCAAAAGCUGGGCUGCUCAAAGACCACGAAGGCCGAUCUCAGAAAUCGAAGAGGCUUGCUUUCUCAAAAGCUGGGCUGCUCAGAGACCACGAGGGCCGAUCUCAGAAAUCGAAGAGGCACCUACUUUUCCAGCCUUGUCAGCACCUGUCACACGCACACUCAGCUUUGCGGAAAUUAUGGGCAUUCUGUCGAAGAUUUCUGGCGAAGUAGAAAGCACAUGAAUCGUACUGUUCAAUCACCCACUUCCCACACGCAACAGUAGCUCAUGGGUACCACAGAUAACUUUGCCAAAGUUCUCUGACAAAGUUGAGACACGUGAAGCUUGCAGCUCCCACUACAUCGCUCUGACCAAGAAGGGUAAAAGAAUUAGCAAAGAAACAACACUAACAAAGUUUAGACACAUAAAUUUUGAAGGUCUAGCUACCAUAUUAUUACCCACAAGGGUAAAGGAACAGUACCACUGCUGGAUAAUUGGAAAGUCCCGGUGUGUCAACCUCUGUGCUUCGUGGCAAGGUAGACUAGCAAACAUGCCCAACCUUUACUCACAUUCGAGAAAACACUCCCAACAAGAUUGCUUGCUCCAAAAUCGAAGAGGCACCGCCCUCCGAAUCUCGAGAGCCAGACUCCCAACAUGAUUACUUUCUCAAAAAUCGAAGAGAGGGUAAAGGAACAGUACCACUGCUGGAUAAUUGGAAAGUCCCUGUGUGUCAACCUCUGUGCUUCGUGGCAAGGUAGACUAGCAAACAUGCCCAACCUUUACUCACAUUCGAGAAAACACUCCCAACAAGAUUGCUUGCUCCAAAAUCGAAGAGGCACCGCCCCUCCGAAUCUCGAGAGCCAGACUCCCAACAUGAUUACUUUCUCAAAAAUCGAAGAGAGGGUAAAGGAACAGUACCACUGCUGGAUAAUUGGAAAGUCCCUGUGUGUCAACCUCUGUGCUUCGUGGCAAGGUAGACUAGCAAACAUGCCCAACCUUUACUCACAUUCGAGAAAACACUCCCAACAAGAUUGCUUGCUCCAAAAUCGAAGAGGCACCGCCCUCCGAAUCUCGAGAGCCAGACUCCCAACAUGAUUACUUUCUCAAAAAAUCGAAGAGACACCGCUCUCCGAAUCUCGAGAGCCAGACCCCCAGCAGGAUUGCUUUCUCAAAAAUCGAAGAGGCAUCGUUCUCCGAAUCUCGAGAGCCAGAUCCCCGACAGGAUUGCUUGUUCGAAAACCGAAGAGGCACCACUUUCCCAACUUCAAGAGCUGGAUCUCCUUGGAUAAAGCUUGUCUGUAAUCUUCACACGCAACAUCAGCUUUCCAGAUACCACAGACCACUUUUUCAAAGUGCUCUGACAGAGUUAAAACAUGUGAAGCUGGCAGCUCCCACUACCGUGCUAUGACCAAGCAGGGUAAAGGAAUAGCAUUAUUACUUGAUGUUAGGGAGACUCCUAUAUAUGUCGACCUCCAUCCCCAACGGACAGGCAGACCUGCAAAAAUGCUCAACCCUUCCUCUUAUCUGAGAGGGCACUCCCAACGAAGCCUUUCGAAAUAUUCAGCUUUCUUUCCCCCCGAUAAUACCUCUGUAAACAAGCUAUACUAGAGCAAGAAUAUCUCAUAUCAUCAGGGUUAAAAGCAAGAGUAUCCCAUAUCAUGCUUUUUCCCUGUCUUUUCCUUUGGCCUUGUUCUUACCUGCAAGACAAGGAGAAAGAGAGCAAUCAGUCAGCACUUGGAAUCAAGCUUCCAGCCAGGAACUGACUGCCUGGAACCCCUUACCUGAUUACUUACCUGGCAUUGCUCUCGAGUACUCAUCUUCAACAUCUUAUGCUUCCAGGGAAGAUACCGCAUCUGCCUGAGGAACAGAUAGGGCAAGUGAGAAGGAUACAAGGAAGCAUGUGGAGACAAGCGUAACAGCACACGUGCCGAUACAUCCAUUACUCUGUCAAAAGCAAAAGUAUCCCAUAUCAGCAGGGUCGAACGUACUCUAGAUUUGAUGGACUUGUUUUGACCCUCAAAUUCUUCAGUCGGCCUUAUACUCUGGAGGAAACCAGAAAACCCUCCAGCCCAGUUCAAGAAUAAGCCUGUGGAAAGUUACUUCUUCAAAAGCAAAAGUAUCCCAUAUCAUCUCUUCUCAUUUUUCUUCUCUUUAUCCUUCAUGCUGCCUGCAAGAUAGGGAGAAUGUGAACAAUCAGCCGGAGCUCUGAUUGCUUACCUUGUCUGUCACCUCUUUCAGCAGAUCCCCUAGCUCGGCGACUUGGGGGACUCCUACUACAUGGUUUGUAUCGCGCUUGACCAAGCCUGAAACUACAAGUAAGCUUCAAGUGACAAUUGAUACAUUACCUUGUGCAUCUCCACCAGUUACAGAUACCACCCCUGGAUGGAGGAAGAGUACUUCCAGAGAAGAUGCCACAUCUACCUAUGAGACAGAUAAGGAAAGUCAAGACGAUACCACACUCCGGUACUUAGAAGUUUCGUGGUUACGAGAUCAUUCUCCCACAAUAUUUCCUAAUGUCAUUUGUACUAAAUCAUUCACUUGUACUCACUAAAGGAGAGCUUGAACCUAUGUACUUGUGUAAACCCUUCACAAUUAAUGAGAACUCCUCUAUUCCGUGGACGUAGCCAAUCUGGGUGAACCACGUACAUCUUGUGUUUGCUUUCCUAUCUCUAUCCAUUUAUAUACUUAUCCACACACUAAUGACCGGAGCAAUCUAGCGAAGAUCACAAAAAAGUGACCGUUUUCGCUACCUAGGAUCUAUCUUGCAAGAGAACGGAGAAUUAGAUGGAGAUCUCAACCAUAGAAUACAAGCUGGAUGGAUGAAGUGUAAGAGUGCAUCCGGCGUGUUGUGUGACCGUCGUAGGCCACUGAAGCUCAAGGGAAAAUUUUAUAGGACGGCAAUAAGGCCAGCGAUGUUGUAUGGCACAGAAUGUUGGGCGGUGAAGCAUCAACACGUACACAAAAUGGGUGUAGCGGAGAUGAGGAUGCUUCGUGGGAUGUAUGGGCACACGAGAAAUGAUAAGAUUGGGAAUGAGGAUAUCCGAGGUAAAGUAGGAGUAGCCAAAAUUGAAGGAAAUAUGAGAGAAAAUCGGUUCUGGUGGUUUGGACAUAUGCAAAGAAGGCCUACUGACGCUCCGGUUCGAAAAUGUGACUACUGGACAGAGGUUCAGGACCGAAGGGGUAGAGGAAGACCUAGAAAAACUUUGGAAGAGACCCUAAGAAAAGACUUGAGUACUUGGAUCUAACGGAGGACAUGACACAAAACCGAGCGCAAUGGCGUUCUAGGAUUCAUAUAGCCGACCCCACUUAGUGGGAAAAGGCUUUGUUGUUGUUGUUGUUGGUUGAUUUUGUAUGGACGAUGUAUUAAUUUUUUUUUUUUUUUGGGAUUUUGUGUAUUGGGUAUUGUGUAGAACCAGCAAUGCAGGAUCUGAUCAGUCACGCCCGAAAAGGGGUUUGUUUCUCAAAUCACAUUAAUUAAUUAGAUUAUUAAUGUGCGUUGGAAGGCUCUUCAAUAUGAUUUCUAAUUUCUCCUUUCCAGCAUUCUCUUUUUGGUUUUUGGAGUAUGUAUGUGAUUUGUAUUUGAUUAUAGAAUAAAAAUUAAUAAAACACGAGAUGCAGCAAUUAAUUUGCAUCCUUAUGACAACACAUAUAUGAAAGUGCAUUCAAUUUCAAUGUGCGAAUGUGUGACAGGACAGGAUGUGCCUGCCUGCUGGUGGUGGUAUGCUUGCUGUUGUUUCUUGCGUUGUUAAUUUUUUGUGUGUUGAUUUGAUUAACAAUUCAAGCGUAUCUUAUUUUUUUUGUGUUGGUUAGCAGCCAGUUUUAUGGCCCCGAUCUAGUGAUGCUUCUCAGUGACUGGUAAUUGCAGUUCAUUGCCACCAGUUGGUCAGCUACCUGCUCUGAAAGAGCUCUACGUAGAAGGGAUGAAAGUUGUUAAGAGUGUUGGUGUUGAGUUGUACGGGGGAAAUCAACCAUUUCAAUGUUUAGAGAAGGUAAAGUUUCGGGAGAUGCCAGAGUGGGAGGAAUGGCAGCCUAGUCCAAGUGGAUGUGAAAGUCCAGACUUUCCUCAUCUUAAGGAGCUGAGGUUAUCCGAAUGUCCGAAGCUGAGAGGAAACUUGCCCACUCAUCUUCCCUCCUUGAAAACACUUUAUGUGAACAAGUGUGAGGUUCUACAUAAAAACAGGGCCAGUAAUACCCUGAACGUGGAAUCCUUACGAGGAUCUCUUGAAAAACUGACAAUAAAUGGAUGCCCGGGUCUCUCAUUGUUACUAGAGUCGAUGGAGACGCUGCCGUCGCUUCAGAAGCUUGAUAUUGAUAGUGUUGGUGGGAAAGAGUUGUUGGUGCAAAUGGUGCACAACAGCAAUCGUCUUCAAAGUUUUGACUUUAUAUAAAUGUUCCUCACCCUUGUCGUUCCCUACAAAUGGUCUGCCCACCACGCUGACGUCACCGAGCAUAACAGAUUGCAAGAAAUUAGAAUUCCUAUCACGUGAGAUGAUGGCCAAAUUGACUUCCCUUCAGUCUUUGCGUCUAUCCAACAGCUGUGAAUGCAAAGGCUUGAGUAAUUUUUGUGAGUCUGCUGUUUGGUUUUUUUUUCUUCAUUUUAGAGAUUUUUCUACUGUUUGGUUUUUGGGUUUUGUCUAAUUUUUGUGGUCUGCUUUAUAGAUUGUUCUCUUUGGAAGCUUCUUUCCAGCCUUGACCUUCUUCUUGCCUGGUGCCUUCUCAUUGAGUAUUGGAGGAGCAUUAAAACACAGGUGUGUGUGUUUUGUCGAUGUAAGAGAUGAACGACAUAAAAACAUCCGUCUUUGUAUUUUUUUGUGCUUUUUCUAACCCAUCAAUUUCUUUUGAGUCAACCAAAUAGUCCCAAAUUGCAACUUAUGUUGUGAGGUAUUAUUGUCUAAAAUUAAGUAUGCAUGUAUAUUUUAUGUUUGUGCGCGCGCACACCUCCGCAUGGUGUUAAUCUCUGUGGGUCAUCUAUGUAUAUGUAGACAUAUCUAUAUGUGUAUGUGUGGAAUGCAACAUAUCGGAUUUAGGUUAUACUGUGCAUAGUUUUAUUGCCUGUUAUUAUCUACGAUAUCACUAUGCCAUUUCUAUGCAGGCUCUGAAAGUUAUCCAUGAGCUUUAUAAGCACUUACCAUAAUUUAAGCAGUCUGUUUUGGGUUCUUUUUCAUUAGGUCAUUAGCUACAGAUUAAUGGAGAAACGAGGACCAUGCAACUGAUUUGGGUUCUUUUUCUAAUUUUCUGAUUUUGGGGUUUUGCAGGGAGUACUGAUGUACUGAUUUUCUGGGAUUUUUUUUGUCCUUGCAGGAUUUUUGGUCUUUGGAAUGGGUAUGUGUUGUUUUUAACGUUUCAGUUCUAGCUUGUUCCGUUCUUCGUUGCUUCGUGAUUCUCAUUUUUUAGUGUUGGGUGAUGGAAAUUUGUUCAAGUAGUUGGUAGUUUUUUUAGAAAGUUGGCAUUUUUAGUUAUAUUUUCUGUUUAAUCCUAAAUGUUAGACUGGAAAAUCAUUGAAAUGACGGUUUUUUAAAAACUCAUAAUUUUUUUGUUCUGGGAGUUAAAAGCAUCUUUUCCAGAUUGGUUAUAAGGGUUAUGUUCUCUUCAAUUGGUUCACCUAAUUUUGAUUAGUUUUAAGUUUUGUCCUUUUAAGUUUUGUCUUUUAAGUUUUGUUCUUUAAGUUGUCUUUUAAGUUUGUUCUCUAAGUUUUGUCUUUUAAGUUUUAUCUUCUGUGCUGUAAUGAGAGAUUUCUGUUGGCCUUUCGGAUUUUGGCAUGGGAAAGUUCACUUAUUUGUCUAAUUAGAUUGUGUAUGCCUUCGAUUCUUUAUUUAAUUGUUCUGUUUGUGUUCAGGUGUGAUGAUCUAAAUUUCAUAUGUUUGGAAUUAUUCACUUAACACCAAUUUGUUACAUUCAGAUCUCCACCCCACAUUUCACUAGUUCAAAUUCCAUAGAAGUCGGUUACUGCAGAUUGCGUCUACAAUUAGAUCAGAGAUCAACUGCUCUUUUGUUAUCCUGCAGAAGAUUGCUUUUGGGAAGGAUCUGAAGUAGUUUCUUUCUGUAAGUUUAUUCCCAUGUAGCUCUGUCUUUUCUAAUUGAUGGUGUUGAUAUUACACUGUAAUUCAUGAUGAUGAUUUAAUUGUUUAUUGAUUUGUAAUUGUUUGUGAAUAAUGUGGCAUAUAUGACUUGCAAUAUGUGUUUGUAUGAAAGGGAUGACAUAUUAUGUUGCUGACUUAAUUGUUUAUGUUUUUCAUAUUUGCGAAUGGUGUUAUGAUCAAUUAGGUGAUUGCUGACCUGUGACUUUGUUUGGAGCUCAAAUUUUGUGAGCAUUACAUUGGAUUGUUUUGAUGUUGUUUUGGUUGACAAUGCAGGGAUAGGAGAAACAAAGAGGAUGACACUUAUAACUGCCCUUCCCCAUCGGCCGUCUUCAAAUUUGGAUCACAAGAAGGGAGCAACAUAGGUGUUUUCCUUCUUCAUUUAGAUAUGGUUAGUGUAAAUAAUUGGACAAAAGAGCCAAACAAACCCUGUUCUCUCAAAUGGAGUCGAUGAUGUGGUCGAUGGCCACCAGCCCCAACUCAAGAGUUUGGCCUUCAUAUAAUUGGAUUGUAGUAUAAUUUUAUUUUGGUUCAUUUCUUUUUUCCUUUAUAUAAGUGCAGGUGUUGUGAUGUUUUGAAUAAAGGGUGAUGAAAGGUGGUUCACACACUUCCUCCUUACUUAAAGCAAGUGGAGAUGAUGGGUUGUAUAAAAAGAAAAACUUGCCAGGUACUUCGAUUUUCUAUUUUAUUAAUUAUUGUUUGGUUUUCCAAAUGUUGUAUUCACAAAGAGAGACCAAUGAUGUCUUUGAGAAACAAGUUUCUUUGUCUACAUUGCGAGAAUUUGCAGUUUGCAACUUUCAUUGGUUAUUAUAUUUGAUUGAGUUAAACUUGGAUUUCUGGAUUUUGACUUUUUCGUUUGUUUCUUUGUUGUAGAGUUGGCUUCAUUUCAUUCCAGUAACUCUAUUCCAGUAACUCUCUAAAAUAGGGCCAAGAACUCACUAAAUAGGUAGUCAAGAGGAAUUCAGUUUUGCCUUCAAUUUUUGCCUUCUGUUUACAUUCUUCCUGGAUGCACUCUCACCGCUUCUCUCGCUUACCACUUUUGUCUCACUCACCGCUUCAUCUCUUCUGUUGCUUACAAGGUCGUGUCAUAUAUUUUUUUAAUUUUUGUGUGUUUAAUUUAUUGAAUAUUUGAAAAAAGAGAUAAAAUUUUCAAUUUACAAUUACUGAUAUGAUGUUUGUUUUGAAAAUCAUUAAGGUGAAUGGAGAGAUUUACAACCAUGAAGAGCUGAGGAGCCGUUUGCCAAAUCAGAUUUAUAAGGUCUCAUCAAUUAUAAAUAAACGACUUUUCAUUCCCAAUGACCUUUAUCGUUUUUCUUAAUGGGUUAGCUGAACAUGAGGUAGAUGCUGACUUUAUAAAAUAUGAGAAUGUUUUAGGAUUUCAUUCUAAUUUUUUGGCUGUUUGAUUACUUUGCUUUUCGUAAUUUGUUUUGCUUAUCGUCAAUUGGAUGGGACAACAUAUUUUUGUAACCAGUUUGUACUUUUUUUUUUUGUGGAAACUAACCAGUAUGUACUUUUACCAUCUCGGUUUUGAUGGAAUUGGAGCUUUCAGUAAUGGGUUCUGAGGGAAUUGGAGUUUUGAGUAAUGGGUUUUUUAACAACUAUAGUAUCAUUUGUGAUUCUUUUAUUUAUAAGAUAUUAUAUAGGAAACUGUUAUUAGCACUCUAAUAAUCUUAUUCUACACUCGCGACAAGUGUAUUUUUCUUUCUAAUUAUGGAAAGUUUGGAGUGCAAAAUGAGAAUUUUGGAGUGCCAAUAACAAUUCCCUAUUAUAUAUAGCUCUACUAAGAAGGCGACUGUAUAUGUCUUCAUCCUGUUAAAUUGUAUAUGGCUCUUGAUGUCGGCUGAAUUAAAUCAAAAUGAAAACCAAGCUGCUGAUCUUACCAGCCCAUAUCACUUAUCACUUAUUUAAAUUAUUUGAAGAUGCAUACGUGGAUUGGUGAUUUUGUUGGAUUCACUUAGCUCAAAUAUAUGUUAUCUGAGUCGCUACAUUUGAGAAUGUGAUUCUGUUCCUACCACCAUUUUGCCCACUUUUUGUGGAAAUUAUUCAUUCCUGUUGUGAAUAAUAUCCCCGGCAGCGAAGUGCGGGCGCAUUUUCUAGUUUAAGUUAAAUCACACAAUGGGUCAUCAAUAAUGACAAACUCGUCAUUUAUGCGAGUCAAACAUGAGACCACCUACCUACUAGUUUAGUGGAAUACCACAAGUGACAUGUUGAUACCUUUAAAUCUCAUAUAAUGGAUUGCAGAAUUAGGAUAUACCUAGUCUAAUUUAGUCAGUGCGUGAACCCGAACAAUUAACCAGGGUUUUAUUCUUGCUUGAAUGUUUGUAAUAUGUUCCUAGUUUGACAAGGCAAUUAUAUUUCCGACUACAAAAGUUAUUAAUUUAGUCGAGAAUUGACGCACCUGAAAUGGUGUGAGGAAAACAUGUAGACACAUCAGACGCGGUCCAUCCUGAGCAUUGUGUAUUAAGGAUAAAGCUCAAAGCCAUACAUGAGGGCAUUGUGUAUGUCUUUAUAAGAGAAGUUGCUGUAGUCCUCAACGUGGCCGGCAGCCAAACUCAUCCACUCUACACUGCAACCCUCAUCCAAAUCCCAUGCUUCCAACCUGCCCCCGACAUAGUCAUCGACCAUGACAUAGCUAUACGUUUUUGGUUGACUCGAAGAAGAAGAAGAAGAAGAAGUAUUAUUCAAGCAUGGAGCAGUGUCCACGUACAGAGAAGAAUUCGAUGGAUUCGAACACUUCAAGUAAUAUAUAGAUAGAGAAUUGAUGUCAUAGGUGGGCCAAUAUAGAGAAUCGAUGUCCUCGAUGGGCGGAAUAUUUUGAGACAUGGAAGAGCAAUUGUUGUUGUCAAGCCCAGGAUCUAGAAGUCGGAUUGUUUUGUUAAUGUAGUUGAUUGCCUGGACAUAGUAUUUUCCGGAAGAAGGUAGGUCUAGUACUGUAAUGUUGCUCUCACAGGACAGAGUAAACCUUACGUCGCCACAGUACUUUGGAUCAUCGUUCAGUCGAAAAGGAUGGCUUAUGUUGUGGAUAUGGCCGCAGGAUGAAGUGCAGGACUUGGCACUACUGUUGUCAGCGUUACAAGUUUCACUGCAAAAGCAAAGAAGAAGAAAGGCUAAACUUAAGGUGAAGGACCUGGUUCCACUGAUUUCCAUUGCUCUGAGAGAGAGAGAGAGAGAGAGAGGGCACUAUAGCUUAAACACCAAGGAGUUAUAUAAUAUGGGAGGGGUUAAAGCACCUCGCUUAAAGUUGCAGUAAGCCCGUCAAAUAUCCUAGGGAAAAGUCGGUCAAUGCUGUCCUAUAGAGAAAAGUCGGCCUUGAUGUUUGACACGGUCACACUCUCUCUCUCUCUCUCUCUCUCUCUCAUUGACGAGGGACACUGUAAUUGAAAAAAAAAAUUGUUAUUCAGAGAUAGAUCUUGAAAUUCUUAUUUUAUAUAAAAAAAAGGGGUAUUUAGAUUUUAGGACCUAUAUAAGAUAAUUUUUAGAUUAUAAGGUUUCAAAAUCUUAUUUUAGUCCCUAAUUUAAUAUUCAUCGCCACAUCAUAUUAUAAGAUACCUCUAUUACCUACCAUAUUUACAAACUUUGCCAUUUAAAUUGUCAACCUAUUCUAUAAUUAAGGCUUAAAUAUAUUCCGUUAAUAAACCAUUCGUCAAUAAGAUAAAUCCAACUAUGGUAAAUUAUACUAAUUUAUACUUGCUGACAAACAAAUUAAGUCUAUAGUAAUUUUAGGUCAGUCACCUUAAGAAGUCGAAGAUGAAAAAAUCAAAUACAAAACAAUAGGUUAAAAAAAUUAAAUAAUAACCCUUAAUAUAUAUAUAUAUAUAUAUAUAUAUAUAUAUCACAAAAAAAAAGUAUAACAACUCCUUAUUGUCUAUAUAUAGGAAUUGCAUAAGUGUCGGUACAUAUGUGUAGGUACAUACAUGCACAUAGGUACGGAAGUAUCGGUAUGGAAGUGCCGGUACAUACGUACACAUAGGUACGAAAAUAUUGAUACGUUAGCAUCGGUACAAAAGUAUCGGUGCGGAAGUGUCGAUACUUAUGUACAUAUAUAUAGGUACGCAAAUAUUGAUACAUAAACAUCAAAAGAAAAAAUCGGUAGAUUCGAUGUAUGAGAAGGUAAAAAUAAAUCAUCAACACUAGAAAAAAAUGAUAAAAGUAAAUCAUGCACUAUUAGAUGCAUAAGAAGAAGAAAUAUUAGAUGUGGAUGGUGGCCCUAGCCCUCUCUUCUAACACGGUUGAAGAUAAUUUUUUGGGUUGGACAAAAAGUUUCAUUUUUAAGGAGAACCAUUUAUGUUAGCAAUAAAACUGAAAAGUUAUAAAUAAAAUAAAUAUAAGACAUUAUAAUUCACUCAAGGAUAAUAUAGGAAGAAAAAAAUUACAUAAAAGGAAUUAACUCUGACAUUAAAUAUAAAUGCUGACUUGGACAUAAGUCAAAGGACUAUAAUUAGUUUUUUAUCUUGGUUAAGGUUUUAGUCUAAAGAUAAUCUUUUUCAAGGAUUAAUAUCUAGUUUCCUAUAAAAAAAAACACCUAAUAUUAAUCAUUCAAAUGAAAUUGUUAAAAUUAAGUAUAAAUAAUACAUAAUGAAAACUGAACACAUACAAUCAACGGUCACGACCAUGAAAUCCUCCGGAUCCUCAGAAAAAAAUCCGACGAUGAUCUUUUUCUGUGUAAAAUAAUUUGAGGGUAUAAUACUGGAUGUGCGAUUAAACCGAAGAACCCACCCACCUCCAUCUUCUCUGACCAACUUGAACCCAGCCACUACUACAUGUCAUCCCGACAACCCACUCUCAGCUUCCCAAACCGCCAUUUUUCACCCAAUGGAACAUUUAAAGAAAAAAUCCAUCUGCAAAUCGAAAACCACCGAAAAAAAUUAAAUCAGAUACAUUGGAAAAAACGCAAAACUCAAUGGAACAACACUGGCGUGGAAGAGAAAAAAAGCAGAAGGUGAGAAUGGAGAGAAAGAAGCGAACGGAAAGAAAAAGCAAAGAAGAGGUUGGAAACGGAACAACAGAAGAACAAUAGAAGAACAGAAAUGGGUAUGGGAAACGGAACAACAGAACAAAAAGCAGGCGGUGUAUAGAGCAAGAAAAGCAAACCUCACGAUGACCAACACGUGCUAAGAGAGGCCCCGGUUCACUGUGUAUCACAUUUUUUAAUAUUUUUUUUGGUCUUCCCACCGGCUAUACAUGGGAUUCCAAAAUUAAGAAGGUAUAAAUUUUUAUUGUUUCUUGUGCCACAAACCAUGUGGCCCAGUCUUAAUCACAUUUUUUAAAUAUUUUUUUUGCUCUUCCCAUCAGCAGUACAUGGGUUAAAAAAAUUAGGAAAGUAUAAAUUUUUAUUGUUUGUUGUGUCACAAACCACGUUGCCCGGUUUUAAUCACAUUUUUUUAAUAUUUUUUUGUCUGCCCACCAGCUAGGUUUAAAGAAUUAAAAAAGGACUAAAAGAAAGACUCCACAGAUGGAGGAACAUGGGAAUAGAAAGGGCAAAUUUGGGAUUUUACUGUACAAAAAAGACAAAAAGUAACUGCUGAAGACUAACUUGAGGGGCAUUUUGGUCUGCACACUGCCCUAGAACAGUAACCAUCGGAUUGGGUUUUAGUAUAUAUAGAAUAUGUUUAGAUAAGGACAAUAAACUUAGAAUUUUGCCAAAAGUCAGAAUUUAUAAAUUGAUACAAUCAAUUCAUUUGUUUGGAUUCAUAAACAUAGAAAUUUAGACUUUCCGCGUGAGAAAAAACUUGGAAUUUGGGACCUUCAAUUCUCAUGUUUAAAUUUCAUGUAAAUAGGUGUCAUUUAUAAAUUUCAGUAAGUGAGAGUUUAAAAAUAACAAACAUGUAUUCAAAUUUCAUUCCUCCUUUGGUUAACCAAAAAAGAAAAUUUAUAAAUUCUAGAAAAUAAAAUUUCUUUAUUUUAAUUUCUGUUAUUUUAAAAUUCUUAGGGCUUGUUUGGUAUUCUACUUGAAUCCAACUUUUUAAACUAAAAAAUAAUUUUCAAGUUUUAGGCCUUAAAAACUUAUUUGGUAGAACUAUUUAAAAAAACUGAACUUAAGACUAACUAAAAAAUAUAAUAUAUUAUCUAAAAACACAAAAAAUGAGUUUUUAGAAUUUUUAAACUUAAAUUCACUCAUUUCUUUUCUCUCCCUCCUCCCCUCUCACUCCAAAUCUCUCUCUCUCUCUCUCUUUUCUUCUUUCUCUCUCCCCUUCUCUUUUUUUUAACCUUUUUUUGUCUCUCAUCUAAUCCGCUCUCUUCAUUUUCUCGGUUCUUUCUCUCACUCAUAUUCCUCUCUAUCUCCUCCAAUUCUCUCUCUUCAUUCUUUUUCAACCAAUAAUUUCUUACUUUUUUCCUCUUCUCUCCUCUUGAUUCUCUCUCUUCAUUCUUUUUCAACCAAUCAUUUUUUACUUUUUUUCCUUCUCUCCUCUUUCUCCCUCGACUUCCUCUUUUUGGAUCUCUUUGUUCAGUUUGAGCUGUAAGAUUUAAAAUUAUUUUAAAUCGUAUACCAAACAAGUUUUUGAGUCUUAAAGAAAAUUGUUUUUCAAAAAAUGUUCUUAAGAAAUGUUUUGAGAAAUGAUAAAAAAUUUCAAAUAAGAUACCAAACAAGCCCUUAAUAAUCUUAAAUUUUCCCAUCCAAACAAAAAAUUUUCUUGUCAUAGAACUUUCAAUUGGAAUCAAAGAAGACAAUCUUUUCACAACUAAUUAUUCUCACCAAAAGCAAUUUUUAUUUUAAAGCAAUCAAUACCAAACUGCAAAAGCAAAGUAGGAAGGCUAAAAUUAAGGUGAAGAACCUGCUUCCACUAAUUUCCUUAGGAGGGAGAGAGAGAGGGGGAGAGAGAACCAAGCGAGCGAGCAGAGAGAGAAAACACCAAGUAGUAUUCUAAUGUUGGUGGGGUUAAGUCACCUUCCGUGAAGUUGCAGUAAGGACUUCUAUCCCAGAGAAAAGUCAGUAAAUGAUGUUGACACAGUCAACGACAAAGACAGAAUUGUGUAACCAUAAUUCUCUCUCUAUCUCUUUUUCAUUAUCGGAUGACAGUGUAACACUACUACGUAUAUAUCUCUGCUCAAUUAUUGAAAAGAAAAAUCCAUGUGCAUUAUUUUUAUUAUUAUUAUCUCAGAAAUGCAGAAAUUGAUCAUCUCUUCCUUUUGCAUAUUGAUACUGGUUUUCUUCAAACUAGUUGAAGCAAGUCAAUAUGUGUGCGCGAAAUCCAACUGUAGCAAUGAUCAAAGCGGGGCUAUCCAUUUCCCAUUAAACAUCAGGCGCACACAUCAUUGUGGUAAUUCUGGGCUUGAAUGCAAUGGGAGAUAUGAACAGCAAAUACUAAUAAAAUUAUUUGUCAAAGACAUAGAUUACAAGCGUCAGGAAAUCCAAGUCUAUUCCCCAAGUAACUGCCUGCUGCUAAAGCAUGUUGAAAUCCCAAACAUGCCACCCUCUCCCUUCAACGUGUCAGUCGAUGACUACAUGAGUAACCUUACCUUAUUCAGUUGUCCUACUUCUUUUGCAAGACGAGAUACGGAUGUGUAUCAAGUCCCCUGCCUCGGCGACCGUGGCAAGAGAACUUAUGCCAUUUAUUCUGAUUAUGGUUUUAGAACUCUCUUCCGGAAUCUACAAUCUUGUACAAAAAUGUAUGAUGUUUUAUCAGUUCCAAUACCCUCUGAAUAUUAUGUUCUUCGUUUCAAAUGGUCUAUACCAAAUUGCAGAAAAUGUGGAGAGGGAAAGAGGUGUGAAUGGCAGAACAAUGAAAUUAAAUGUAUUCAAUGGAGGAAACCAAGUAAGGAUAACAUAUGUAUUCAUUGCUAGUUUUAAACAUCUUUACAUUUGUUUCUCAGUAAUUAUUGUUUAAAACAUGUCCAAUCCAUUUUUACUAUGAAUAUUAACUGACAGUCUCAUUUGAAUUUGCCUUUAUCUUUUACAGGCAACACAUGGAAAUUAGUGGUCACAGGGGGAAUCCUGGGUUCUUUGCUUCUUGUUCUACUGAUGAUUGCAGCAUAUCGGGUAUAUAGCGUUGAUAGAAAGAAAAAAGAGAUUCGAUUACGAAUUGAAAGAUUCUUGGAGGAUUACAAAGCACUCAAACCAAGCAGAUACUCGUACGCAGAUAUUAAGAGGAUUACAAAUCAAUUCAAGGACAAGUUGGGCAAAGGAGCCUAUGGAACUGUCUUCAAAGGAAUGCUCUCUUCUGAAUUCUUUAUUGCUGUCAAAGUCCUCAACAGUUCCAAGGGAGAUGGGGAAGAGUUCGUAAAUGAAGUGCGAACGAUGGGUCAUAUCCACCACGUAAACGUGGCUCGCUUGGUUGGAUUUUGUGCUGAUGGAUUUGUACAAGCUCUUGUUUACGAGUUCUUCCCCAUUGGUUCCCUGCAGGAUUUCAUUUCAUCUGCAGAUAGUAAGAAUUCAUUUCUUGGUUGGGAUAAGCUGCAAGAUAUUGCCCUAGGCAUAGCCAAAGGAAUUGAAUAUCUUCACCAGGGAUGCGAUCUACGAAUCCUGCAUUUCGACAUCAAACCCCAUAAUGUUUUGCUAGACCAAAACUUCACUCCAAAAAUUUCUGAUUUUGGUAUGGCCAAGUUAUGUUCCAAGGAUCAAAGCUUGGUGUCCAUGACUACAGCUAGGGGGACCAUGGGCUACAUUGCACCUGAAGUGUUCUCCAGGAAUUUCGGAAAUGUGUCUUACAAGGCAGAUGUCUAUAGCUUUGGAAUGCUGCUGCUUGAGAUGGUAGGAGGAAGGAAGAAUAUUGGUUCAAUCACGGAUAACACUACAAAUGAAAUUUACUAUCCACAGUGGAUUUAUAAUCUUCUAGGGGAAGGGGAUGACCUACGAAUCCACAUUGGGGAAGAAGGAGACGGUAAAAUUUCAAAGAAACUUGCAAUUAUAGGGCUAUGGUGUAUCCAGUGGCACCCGUCGGAUCGUCCUUCCAUGAAAAUAGCGGUUCAGAUGUUAGAAGGAGGAGGAGAAAGCUUGAGUAUGCCGCCUAAUCCCUUUGUGCCUACUGGUUCUACAACUAGGAAUGCAAGACGCCUAGAGCUAGAAGCUAUUGCUGAAUUAGAGUAAAAUGUAUAUGCAGAUAUAUAGACGUAUAGAUAUAGUAAUAUUUACAUUGAAUAAGAUACCGUUUGAUAACCAUUUCGUUUUCAGCUUUUAAUUUUUAUUUUUCACUUUUUUGAAAACUGAAAACUAAAAUCUUGUUUGGUAAAUACUUUUAGUUAAAAAAAAAUGAAGACUGAGAACUAAAAAGUGAAAGCUCAAAGGAAGUAGAUUAAAAGUAGUUACCAAACAAACCGGAAUCUCAAUAAUAAAAAAGAUUGAAUUGCACAAUGCAAUCCAAACCAAUCAAAACAUUAAAAUAGCAAAAAAAUUAAAAUUCUAGUUGAUUAGAUUCUGAACAUAGUAAAAAUGAACAGAUCCGAUGAAAAAACAAAAAAUUCUCAGAUAAAAAUAGGGAUAAAGUAGAAUAUUUAUAAAUAGCUCAUUGUCUCUUAUGUCAUCAAUUAUUUCUAUAGUAUAUACAGGUUUUUGGAAAAAUUAGGUUCCCAUCCCUUAUUUUCAUAUUACAUUGAUUGAAAUCUUAUUAUUUUUCUAUUUUAGAUCAAGGUCCCUUGACUUAUUCCAUGUCAUCAUUUUAGUAUUUAAAAUAUUACACGUCAUCAUAAACGAAAUCUCAUCCCUUUCUGCAUUUAAGGCAAAAUAAACUAUAUAAGUAAGUUUAAAACAAGGAAAAUCCAUUUGAACUCCUCCAUUCUUCUUCUUCCCUUAUGCACAUCUGGAAUCUACAACACCCCAAACCCAAUUUUCUCCAUUUUUCUUCAUUCCUGAAUUGAUCCAAUGCAUAUAUGUUGAAUAAACCUAUUGUGAUUAAAAUACAAAUUAGCAUCAAUGAUUUUAUCGGCUUGUGAGAUUUGUGUGGCAUAGGCAAGGCAAUGCAGGCAUCGCUUUAUCAAAGAAUCUGGUUGAUUCAAACAUGCAGAGACUGUAGAGUGAGCGGGCUAUGUAAAAACUGUACCAUUUUGAAGUCAUUUUCUUUUGUUCUUUACAUUUUUUUUUCUUUUAUUAUUAUAUAUUAGUCUUGAUUAUUCAAUGUCUGGUUGGCUACACUUAUAUCCAUGGGUACAUUUUUAAUCUACAUGUUUCGUUCUAAUAUAUCUAUUGCUAUAAUAUGUUUUGGUUGGUUCAAAUUUGUUUUACAUAAAUAUAUGGGUACAAAGUUUUUGUAGAAUAUUAUGUAAAAUGGUUUUUAAGGUUGCUGCAUUUUACGUACCCACAUAUGCAUGUCUAUAAAACAAUGUGGUAUGAUGUACAUUCUUUUCUUUGAGUUUUUAAAUGUACCCAUGAGUUUUCUUGUAAAUUCGGUAUGUACCCAUAUGCUAUUUAUGUUAUGGGUACAUACAUUAUUUUUGGUCUAAGUUCAUGGGUACAUUACUUUUGUAUGUAUGAAUUCAUGGAGUACAUUAUUUCCCUUAAUACUACUCAAUAAAAUUCACAAAAAUAUGUGUAGCGUGCAUGAUUUUUUAUUGUAGAAAUUGUUUGUUUUUUUUAAGUCUCAUAAUUCAUGAAAUUUGUACAUAUAUGAUCACAUAAAUUUUUUAAUUUUAUUAAAUUUCUUUUAGACUUGAUCGAUUGAUUGAAUCUCAUAAUACUAGGAUUUUGAAUUACAUAAAUUCUUGGAUUUAAAUCCCUUAAAUGUUGAACUGCAAUCAAUAUUUUAAAUUACAGUUUUUUAUUUAAGAUAUCAAAAAGAUGACAUGGAAAUAUAGUAAUACUAAAAUGCUGAGGUGUACAAAGUCAAAGGACUUUGAUAAAAAAAUAAAAAACAAUAAGAUUUCAAUCUAACAAUUGAAUUGACUAGGGAUCGGAACCAAAAUGACCCUAGAUUUUUAUUGAGUUUAAUCUUAAUAAAAAAAAGACUUCUUGUAUCACAAAAAAUACAAGAACCAUUAUUUGAAUGAAAUAAAAGCUAUGGGAUGGAGAUAUAAAUGGAUCCUUUAUUUCACAAUUGGAUUAUAUUUAUUUGAUACACUGUUGUCAAUAUGAAUGCUGAGAAAAGACUACAAAAGAAAAAAACAAUUUAUAAAUAUAACUAACAAUUCCAAUUUCAAUCAAUUAGACAAUUAGAAUUAUAAGAAGAAAAAAAAAAGAAAUUUCAGUUUUCAGUUUAAAAAAAAUGAAAAAAAAAUGGUUAUCAAAGCCGUCCAAAUAAUACAAGUUUGUUUCCACUCUUUGUUUAAGCAUAGAUGCCAAUUUUUGUUUAUCAUUUUUUUAACCUUUAUUUUUUGUUACAGUAGAAGCCCUGGAAGGAAAUCGAGCACUGGACUUACCAAACUCUUAACUUAUUUCUACACACCAAGAGCUUGAUUUCGGUUCUUAUUUAUACUAUUUAAGCUAUAAGCCGUGACAAGAAUUAGAGAACUAUCAUUUGUUGUGAGCUUCAAUUGGUUAGCACUUUGUAUGUUUUCAUUAGAAUAUAUAUUUCACUUAGACUUUCUUAUUAAAAAAGGGAUCAGCUGGUGACUUUACCACGACAAUCCAAUUUUAUGGGGGUCAUGAAUACUCACAAAGGCAUUUCAGCCUCCCCCUAUAUCUACCGUCGCGUGAUUCACCAUUGUCAGAAAUCGAACCCAAGACGUGUUGUAUAGAAUACGGGCCUAAAAUUCAUUUCUAACCACUGAGUCACCCCGCGUUUGAUUAUAUUUCACUUAGACUUAUCUUGCGGUAUAGCAUGUCAUCCCCGCCCAAGUUUUUCCCUUCGCGUUGACUUUGGGAUACCAAAACUUGCCAAACAAAGUAGAUUGAUUAGUAAGCGAAGCUAAUUAUUCGACUAAACAUUGUUUAGAAUUUUAAUUAAAAGAACCAAUAUGAAUCUGUUUUUUUUUUUUUUGACAAACUAUAACGUUAAGGAGUUAAAUUGUUAGUUGUUAAGAGUACGGGGAUAGGUGAGGAUCGAACCUCCACCAUAGUGCAUAGACAUUAUUGGUUCUACAACUGCUGUAAAUCACAUAAAACAAAACGUAAUACUUUGAGGAUGGAAGACACUUCGUGGAUAGCGGGCAAUCAACACUAUCAGUUGCUAUCCAAAACUUGGAAUUAUGUUUAUUGUCCGAAGGAUUUUUCUUCCAUUAAAUUGCUAAGGAAGAUGAGGAUGGGUAGAGUGUCUAAAUGUCAAGGUUGAUAAGAACGUGUAUGGUGUUCAGCUUGCGAUUGAGAUUUGUUGAGUGGCACAACAAACCACAUAAAAUUUUCUAAAUGAUAAGCUUGAGUAUAAUUUUUUACCACGUAUUUAUCUUUAAAAUCAUUAUAAUUAGAUUUUCUCUUAAUUAAUAUAGACCGUUAGAUUCAUCUAAUGACCCAAGUUUUUUUCCUCUUUUCUUUCUACUCUUUUUUUCUUCUCUGAUUUUCCAUUCACCGUGUAGCAGUCGUUCUUCCCCAACUAAGUUUCUUAUUUUUCUUCACAAAAAAAUUGUAGAAAAUAUUAAGAAAAGAAAAGUCAUCAAUAUCAGACUCGACCAGGUAAUCGUUCCAACCUUCCCAGCAACUCUCAGUCUUAACAAGGCACCAAAUUUUCUCCGCCACCUAACUCGUCAUUCAUUUAUGGGUGUUUCAAGCUUGGUGAAAAUUGAUAGAGUUCCAUGUGUGUACACGGAUGUGAACAUAUUGGCCACUCUCUAAUGUGUUGGUUUAUCACAAAGAACCCAGAUACAAAAUUUUAAAAAGCAAACAAUUACAACUUCUCAAAUAUUAUCUAACAAACUUUCAAUGAAAUGUUGCUCAUAAUUGAAAAAAGGUUGACGAAGGACGGAGUUGGAGUUAUUUUAGAUGGGGAAGAGUUAAAAGAAGGAAGCACCAUUUAAUUAAUAAAAGCGAUUGGAGAAAUAGUAAUUCAAUGGUGGGCGUUUUUAAGGUGUGGACCUUGUAUCACACCCCGAUUCCAACAUACAUUGAGGAUCAACACGUGACAUGGGGACAUAGGGGACAUAAAUCUUAUGUAAGAUACAAAAUGAAAUACUAUAAAUAAUAUCCCAAAAUGAAUAUGAUAGUGGGUUCACCCCUAUAAAAUAUAUACGAGUUUGUACAUUCACAAAAAAAAAAAAAAAAAAAAAAAAAAAACACAUACACACACACAAAACUCUCGCUAGGCCAAGACUUGCCCAUGGUGCUCAAAGGAAAGUCCCAAAAGAAAGAGUACAAUGAAGGAUAAAGGGGUAACCUAAACACUCCAAGUCUCUGAUCUCUGCACUGCUACCCUCACCGGCUCCUCGUAAUCUACUCAGACCUAUCACAUGUACAAACAGUGCCUACAUUGUGGGAAUGGUGCAUCGGGCAAACAAAAACCCGGAUAAGCUGCAAAACUCGUGUGAGUGACAAUAAUGCAACAUAUGUGAUAAUCAAGAAAAACAUACCAUCGAUCGCAGUUUAUAAACCUCAAAUAUAACUUCAUACUUAUGAAAUCAUAAUCAAGUCACUGAAAACUUCGAAUGAGUCACCCAGACAUCCAACGACUUUUUAAAAUCAAAUCUCAGAGAUUCCAAAACUAUCAUUCACAAAUACACUAAAAACUAGGGCUAGAGUGACACAGUUCGGCCAAAGACUACAUAAGUAACCAAACAAGAAGUGGCCCCCCAUAGCGGAUUAACCAAGCAGAGCCACUCCUGAAAAAGUAACCAAGUAGGUAGUGACCCCCAUCACGGAUUAACCAAGCAAAGUCACUCCUACGAAACUGUUAGGUAGUGAUCACCCAUCGCGGAUUAACCAAGCAUGAUCACCCCUAAGUACGUAUGGCCAUACCUAAGAAAUAAGGAUCGCCCACCGCAGAUUAACCAAGCACGAUCCAAAAAUAUUAUGGGUCCCCUAUCACGGAUUAACCAAGCAUGACCAUCCAUGUACCACUACUACAUGGUGUAAAUUCGGUGUCACCUAACCUCGUGACACUAGGGUAACGGUCCUUUACUAGCCCUCACGUUUUUCAAACAUUUCAAAUAUAUAAUUUAAAACACAAUUCAUAAACAUUUCGAAUAAGGAAGUCACAUAGUGUUUAAUAAUGUAGGUCAAUGGAAAACUUUAAAAACAAUUAUUUAGCAUAAAACAUAUUUUAGAAAUCCAUGUUGUAUCCACAAAGUAUACUAGCAUGGGAGAUUUUCAGGGUAAUAACUCUAUCAUAUAUAUUAAAGUCACUCACCUGGAGUCCACACUAACGCACCCUAACACGAAUAUCAAGACGUCACGUACUAUCAUCUGUAACAUCCCACAUCAACCAACGGAGAGAGGGUGAUGUGCCUUAUAUGUACAUGCCCACCUCCAUAGCAUGAGACCUUUUGGGAGCUCACUGGCUUCAUAUUCCAUCGGAACUCCAAAGUUAAGCGAGUUUGGGCGAGAGUAGUCCCAGGAAGAGUGACCCACUGGAAAGUUCUCGUGUGAGUUCCUAGAAACAAAAUCGUGAAGGCGUGGCCGGGGGGGGGGGUUAAAGCGGACAAUAUUGUGCUACGACGAAAUUGAGACUGAGAUGUGACAGAAUGGUAUCAAAGCCACUCUGCCGUGUGGUGCGAGUGUGCCGACGAGGAUGUCGGGCCCCUAAGGGGGGUGGAUUGUAACAUCCCACAUCGACCAACGGAGAGGAGGUGAUGUGCCUUAUAUGUACAUGCCCACCUCCAUUUAGCACGAGGUCUUUUGGGAGCUCACUGGCUUCGGAUUCCAUAAGAACUCCGAAGUUAAGCGAGUUCGAGCGAGAGCAUUCCCAGGAUGAGUAACCUACUGGGAAGUUCUCGUGUGAGUUCCCAGAAACAAAAUUGUGAGGGCGUGGCCAAGGCCCAAAGCGGACAAUAUCGUGCUAUGGCGGAGCCGAGAUUGGGAUGUAACAUCGUCACCUAAGACAAAGUACAAGUCCACAUUUAAAGUUCUUCGUGUAUUCACAUAAUAAAAAAUUUCCAUAUGCCCCCUACAACUAAUGAAGAGAAAUCGAGACACGUUGACAAAAAGUCAACUGUUGAUCAACGGUAGGGUCCAUAACCCUACGUAACUCGAUCUGCAAGAUCCAGCCACUGUAUUUGUGAUUCAUAAGUUCCUAAGGUCCUUAAAUCUUACGUACAAUAACAUACUAAACUUUGGUGACGAUCUAAUUGUCGAAUCAUCAUUUGCUAUAAUGUUCAAAUGACGCAAAUUCAUCAAUCAGAUGUUAAAUAUGGAAUCGGUCAUCGAAUUUAGCUUAGGAAGGUCAAGUGGUGUCUCGAGCCACGUGCUGCCGUGCGCAGCAGCUGGCAACCCAAAUUCGUCGGAAAAAUCACCUAAUUCCAAAAUGAAUGUCGUUAGACGUGGAGUAAAUUGUAUACCUGUGAAGAAGCCCAAUUUGGUCGGGAAGUGGCCUGAAAUCACUUUAGACCGUCGGAAACCCUAAAAUAGGUGAAUCUCGAUUCGUCAUCUCCGGUAUUCCACCGUCCUCAAACUUGUUUAGGGUUUGCUCCUGGUCUCAAAAGAAUGCUAAUGAUGGUGGUGAUUGAAGGAGAAUGUUUCAGAAAUAAUGAAUCGUCGACGAGGGUUUCACGAAACCGACAUGGGUGUUCCUUGUGGAACUAAGACCAAAUCUCAACGGUUUUGGCUAGAAAUGGAUGCUGGGAUGUCGUGGUGAGGUUUGGUAGUGAUGGGAGGUCGAAGAAAGCCAAAAAAAUCGACGAAAAAACAGUCGUCGGAGUCGCAGGAAACGGGUUAGAAAAACGAGUCGCCAGGUCUGAAACGGGUCGAAGGCUUUUGGGACAGCUACUUACUCUCUCUUCUUUGAUUAGUCACUCCACUCACUCUCUCAUUUGAUUAGUCCAGCCUUCCCACAUGGUGGGAGUUCCCUCAUAUAGUAACCCAAAAUUUACUAUUUAAAUCUGGUAUCGAACGUUCGUAACUUUUUCGUUAUAGUUUCGAUUCGCAAACAGCUUUCGCCUACGCGCUCGUAUGAUCGAAUUAUACUCGAAAACAUUAAUUGUGACCUCGAAAAGGUCUACGAGUUUUAAAAGAUUAAUUACAAAAAUUCACACCUUGUAACUAUACGAUCCAAAUUCUAAAAUUAACGGAAUUAAAAUAAACUAAAAAUAAUGUAAACACGAAAUACAGACUUUAAUAAUGAAAUACGUAAUUAAUAGUAGUAUUCCGGGAACGGGAUUUCACACCUUGCGUCCGGACCUUGAGUGCGGAUCAGAAUCCAAAGGUCGUGAUCUGACAAGCUCAUGCAUAGAACGGAGUCGUUGUGACCCAAUGCAAUUCAAAACUUUUAUGUUUUUUAUUUGCUGGGUACGUUUUUGUAGGAGGAAAAGGGGAAGUCGAGGGAUUCUUUGCGCAUUAAAGAGGGAAAGAGAGAAAGGGGGAGCUAAGAGGUUCUUCGCGCGUUAAAUUUUUGCUUCUAAUUUUGCAACCUAGAAAUAAAGUAUUUUCUUUAUGGUUUAUGGUUCAAGAAUAUAAUGGAUGCAACCUAAAAAUGUUUCUUUUUUUAUUUUUUACUUUUUUUCUUCUUAUGUUGGCUUUUGGUUUAUUUUUAUAACGCACUAUAUAUUAACUAAAUUUAUAAACAUUUUGUAUCUUUGUUGCAGUCAAAUUAAUCAUAUGGGUCGGCAUGACUAAGUUCGACUGAGACAUACAGAUGUUUUGCAAUCUUAAGUCUAACCUGACACACCUCGACCUCAAUAUCCAGUGAACACCAAAAUUAAGGUGUGCUGGCCAUCAUCCGGAUGGGUGACGAAACCAUAAUAUGCAUGAAAACAUAACUAAAUUAUCAACCAAUAAAAUCUAUUGAAAAAUUUGGCAGAACAUCCCUUAAAAUAGGGAUAUGCCCAAAUUAAAAACACUUGCACAUGAUCACAAUUAUUCAAACACAUCCCGAAGGGCCACACUUAAUGGGACUUCGACCAUCUAUUACAUGCAUGAGAAUAUGUUCAGAGAAUAAUUACCCAAAUACGUCUUAUUAAAAUAUUGAGUAAAUACCAUACAAGAUAGAAUACGUCAGAGCUGUUGCAAAAUACCUCAACGUCGGAUGUAAUCACUGAUAGAAUUACUGAAUCAUGUAUAAAUGGAAAGCUGAUAAAUACAUGUAAUUUGAGUGGAUACUUACCAACAGCAUGGAUACAAUAUCAUCCACCAGUCGUAACUAGUGAAAACUGGAUAAUAUAAUCAUGUCAUUGCCGAGUAAUCUCAAGGCAAUGACAAGAUGAGAAUGUAACUGAGUAAUCAUAUCAUUACUAAAUAAUUUCAAAGCAAUGACAAGCUGAGAGUAUAACCGUAUAAUCAUGUCAUUACCGCGUAAUCUCAAAAUAAUGACAAGCUGAGAGUAUAACUGUAGUACCUCUUAUUAGUGCAAUGCAUGAUAUGAAUUCCAUCUCACAUAUAUAUGCAAGCCAUAAUCAAACCAAUAAACAUCCAACAAAAGCCACAAUCCUUUUAACAUUCGACCACAAGAUCAAUUUUCAUAUUUCCCAAACCUAGGUUCCGAAGCAUUGUUUCGAAUUAUUAAUACAAGAAACCACCACCACCUCAAUCAAUUCCUAUUCAUAAGUGUAAGCAAUUACUAAAUGCAUCACUUUCGACUCUAGUCUUAAUUAGAUUACUUGGGAUACUCAUUCACACCAUCAGAUCCACGUACAAUUUUGAUAAACUUUAAAUAGCAUGGUUAAAAUAAAUGAAACAUUUGAAUGAAACACUUUUAGAAAAUAAGUGAAGAUGUUGUUUACAAAUAUAGAUGCAUCUGUAUAUAAAAGCUUUGGCGGUUGAUUCGUAUACUUCCAGAGAUAUAAGCAAGUUCAUUGGAAUAUGCAUACAUGGUUAAUGUAUUACGGUAUAAUUAAUAAGAAAACAAUUGCAUCCCCUUCAGAUUAUAUAUAUAUAUAUAUAGACACACACACAUACACAUACAUACACACAGGCCCUUUAUGCAAAGGAAUUUCCAUUUUUUUUCAAAAAAUGGGGAUUAGUUGUGGGGCCCACGCUGCAUUGAACUUUAACGAUCCGAACAAUCUAUUUUGUAAGUCUCGAUUCAUAGAUCAUCCUUGCAAAAAUUCAAUUCAAUCCGAACCCUUUUGCCUAUUUAAUUAUCAAGAUAAAAUUUCAUUGUUUCUUAUAUAACAAAGUAUUCGUUAAUUUCUUUGAACUCAAUUAGAUAUCUUAAACAUUUCCGAUUUGGCUAAUAUUUUGCAAAGAUGAUCUAUGUGGUGCAACUUGAAAAAUAGACGAUUUCGAUUGUUAAAGUUCGAUGUGGUGUGAACCCUACAAUUAAUCUUCAUUUUUAUAAAAGAAUGGGAACCCCUCCCCUUAAAGGUUUCCUAUGUAUAUAUUUGUUCUUCAGACAUAUGCAAAAGGUAAUGUAAAACCAAUGAGAACUUAAAUAGAUAUUCCAUACAUAGGACAAUUCCAUAUAUGCUUUUUCAACAUUUAUAUCGAAAAGCCAAAUUGUUUUGAGGAAAUUAAUUGUAGUAAUGGUCCCUUAACUUUUAUCUUAUUGGAGCAAUGGUCUCUCAACUAAAAAUUCAUGACCAUUGGUUCCUUAACUCCACAAAACGUGUAGUUAUGGUCAUUUUCAUUAACUCCGUCAGAACUUUUGUUAAAACAAGUAAUGUUAGAAGAAUCAUUGCUACAAUCAGGUUAAAGUUGGGGACCAUUGCUCUAAUUGAAUUAAAGUUGAGGGAUCAUUACUCCAAAUUGCUUAAAGUUCAAGGACCAUUUCUACAAUUUUCUCAUCUAGUUUCCCAUAUUUACCCCAUGAUUCAGCUUCACAUGCAUUGCACAUGACUCAUUUUGACAAAAGUUUUAACGAAAUUGACGAAAAUGACCAUAAAUGCACGUUUUGAAGAGUAAGAGACCAAUGGUCGCAGAUUUUAGUUGAGGGAUCAUUGCUCCAAUUUGGUUAAAGUUGAGGGACCAUUGCUACAAUUUGCUCAAAUGUUUCGUAUGCGAAAAUAGGCAUUUGUAAAGUUUGGCUUGUUCAUGGCAUUAUUACUUUAGUCUAAAGUAAGGCUGGAAAUGGCACUGUAGAAAUGAAUAGUGUUCCAAUCCGAAUUUCAGUUUAAUUACAACAAUGCCAUUGCUCUUUGUGUUGCCUUUAGGUGAGCAACCCAACUUCCAGCCAGGCCCAAAUGUAUUGGUUUUAGCUGAGAAGCCCGACCUUUGGUCAGGCCCAAAACUUUAAAUUACAGUUUUGCCCAUACAAAAUAACAAUUUGAUUGUAUCGGGAAGGACAAUUUUGUCCUUUUAGUUUUGGGCGAGAUAGGGGGUAACCGGGUAGAUUUCAUUUGCUGUCGUUGAAUGAAGGUUUCGGGGAUGAAGGUUGUGUGUGUGUGUGAGGGAGAUGACGAUGGAAGGAGAGCGAAGGGGAGGGGAAGGGUUCUCGGCACUGUUGCUGCAUGUGGAUUUCACAAGUGGGUGAAUGGGUAUGGUUAGAGAAUACCAUAUAGGUUGUCGGGAUUUCAGGAAACGGGGUAGGGGUCAUGAAUGAACCCUGCUGAGAGUGGGUGCCGGAUCUUGCGCUGCAUGCCUCAAAUCAAAGAUAAGUUCAUUUUUUUAUUGUAUUCUUUAAUGGUAGCUUAGCUUUUGGAAUUGUUUAGUAUGUUAGGUCCAGUUUUGGGGGAUUUAUCUUUUAGAGAGAGAGAUGGACAGGGAGAUAAAGAUAGACAGAGAGAGAGAGAGGAGGAGGAGGCGGAGGAAGUAUGGCUGUGUGCUAUUUUUGGUGUUAAUUAAUGGGUUGGUGCGCAGGGUGAGUGACAGAGUGACAGAGUGACGGAGGGAUGUGUGGGAGGGUAUGGGUUUUUAGUUCUUUCUUUUGAUUCAAUAGGUUAUACACUGUUUGAAAAACCUUUUUUUUAUUUUUUUGUUCUCGUUUGCUUUGUUAAAACCAUCAUUUGAAUUUUUGGGUUUCACUGUGCUCAUUUCUCUGUUUCUUCAUAAUUUGUUGGUGUUUGCUUCUCAUCCCUCUGUUGGUAGAUCUUUUUCUCAUUUCUUGGUUCCUUAUGUAUUCUUUGGUACAAAUCUGUUUACUUUUUGGUUGUGUGAUAAUCUUAGCAGGUGAACUAUAUGAACGUUUUUUUGAAACGAGCACAGUGAAGCAAGCGUAGAUUGGGAGGCAACCCAAUAUUUCUAUUCAUUGCCUUUUUCUGUCAUUUUCAAUUUUCUUGCAUGCUAAACUGAAUUAUUUCUUUUCUUUGUAUUUGGGUUAUGUCCACCCUUGGAGUUGAUUGCGGAAUUAUAGUUUGGGGGUCAUCAUUUGAUUUCACUGCAAAUUGGGGAAGUUUUUAGUCCAAAUGCCGGAUCACUUCAAGUAUCACCUUCCAUUCGAAGUUCACUUCCAUGCCAUGGAACCUAUGGGAGUGUGACUGGAGGCAUCGUCCGGCUGCAAGACGUUAAAGAAAGCGCUUCUUGGGAGGCAACCCAAGCUUUCUAUCUUUCAUCUUUAUUUUGAAUAAUUUUAAAUGUUCUUGUUCUGUUUUUCUCUUAUUUUCUGGUUUUUGUAUUUAAGUCCUACUUUUGUUCCUUUAUGCAGGUAAUGAUUUUGCAAUCUCUACCACAACUUCUUGCAAGGUAGUUUUACAUUCAUAAAAACGAAAGGAACAUUAAGCAUAUAAAUACAAGAGGGAGCCUUCACAAAGGCUGCUUAGGAGAAGUUUCAGCAGUCGGCGGAGUCCCAGAAGGAGGAGGCAUCAGAGGUUGAUCAUUUGGAGCUUCAUUACGUGGUACAACCCCAGAAGACGAAGGCAAAUGCAAAUAAGGAAGAUCUAUGAAUCGCUUCACAAUCGAAAAGGAACAUAUGGUAGAAAAAUUCAAAGAUGAGCAUACAAACAAGAAGGAGUCUUCAUUGGUCAGGAGGUGUCGCAGCAGUCGAAGGAACAUCAGAAAGACGAAGUGUCAGAGCUUGAUUGUCCGGAGCACUUGGUGAAGCACCAGAUGAUGAAGGCAGAAGUUGCCUCAGGAGUAAAGCCAUAAACCUUUGAUGAUCACUCCGAGCCCGAACUUCAGCCUCUUGCAGCUGGUCCAACUUCCUCUUUAUGCUUGUUGAGUAGUUAGUUGCGAGCAUGUGCAACUCUUUAUCUUCAUGCCUCAGCGCUCUGACCUCUUGCCAAAGGCUAGCCACUUCAGCCAUCAACGACUCCACUUGACGAGUUCGAGCAAGAAGGCGUUGGCCCAUGUUUGAUACUGAGCCUGCACUUUGGACGCUGAAAGCCAAAGAAUCCUGAACAGCCUGCUCGUCAGACCGCUUAGAUAGCAUCCUACUGUCUCUUGGAGUAUGAAGAUUUCUAGCAACCACUGCAGCUGUUGCAUCAUUUCUCAUCACAGUGUCCCCAACUGUAAGAGGACCGUUGGAGGAUAUGAAAGAUGGCUGCCAAAUGUUACCUGGAGACGAGAGGUCAAUAUCUUCUUCGAUAUUCAGGUCAAAACGACGGUCGGAUGGGCUAGACAUUUUCAUAGGUGUUAAAGAAAGAAGAGGUCAGACAAGUCAAGAUAGUAGAAAUGCAAGAAGGGAGUAUUCACAGGCAGAAAUUCAUGUGUGCUUUGAACAUCCUGCGAACCUCUAUAAAAAAUAGCACACAAUGAGAUUUCAGGGAUCGAAUAGGCGAGUUCAGAGAUCGAUGAAGCGCCUGCUUUCUCCAAAGCUAGGCCUACUCAGGAAUCACAGGCUGAUCUCAGGUAGUGAAGACGCGCCUGUCUCUCUCAGCCCCGUCAGCACUUGUCACAUGCAGAGAAAACUUUGAGGAAAUCACGGGCAGUUUGUCGAAGCGCCGAUUCCAACCAUCUGUCUUUCUCAGCCUCGUCAGCUUUGAGGAAAUCACGGGCAGUUUGUCGAAGCGCCGAGUCCAACCGCCUGUCUCUCUCAGCCUCGUCGGCACUCGCUUUCUCAAAAGCUGGGCUUGAAAUCACAGGCCAAUCUUCAGUUUCUAAAUUUGUUCGCACUUGUCACAUGCAACCUCUGCACUCAACGAAGCUCAGAACUCGAAGCGCCAAUUCCGGAUAUUAAAGAAGCCUUUGCUUUAUCAGACGUGUCAGCAUCUGUCAAUUGCACAUCUGCGUUGCGUAAAUCACGCGCAAUCUGUCGAAGAUUUCUGGAGAAACGGAAUGCACGUGAAGUUUACUGUUAAAUUACCCCAGGCUUGCUGACACGAGUACUAGAACAAUGCCUUCCCAGCCAUUAAGAAAAAUUCUACAAAUGUUAAAGGCAACCUCACUCAACUUUCAGCCUCACUCAACCUUUCUUCCUCUCUGAGAAUGUAUUCCCGAAGAAGCCUCCCGAGUCACUCUGUGUUUCUCAUCCCUUGGGAUACCCCUGCAAACAACCCACCCAGAGCAAAAGUAUUUCAUAUCAUAACGGUUGAGAGCAAGAGUAUCUCAUAUCAUGCUUUCUCCCUGUCCUUUGUCUCGCCAGCACUUGGUAUCAAUCUUCCGAGCGGGGACCGACUGCCUGGAACCCAUUCCUGAUUGCUUACCUAACCUUGCUCUCGAGUACUCAUCCUUCUUAUGUUUCCUCUUCGUCUACCACAUAGGGGAAGUGAUAAUGAUACCUCGAAGCAUGUGGAUACAACGUGCUGAUUCAUCCUCAACUAAGGACAAGGGAGAAAGCAAGCAAGAUGUGGGCACUUGGAAAGAUUGAACAAAGAAACAGACUAACACCUCUACCUCGUGCCUGCCUACCGAGCAGAAGAAACAAGCAGAGAAGAAUGCAGACUGCACAAUCAAACAACCCAGGAACUCUGAUAUUCCUCGCUCAGGAUUCCAAACCAGUUUGAGAUUCGCCUACACAAAUUGGUGUGUUCUUUCCUUUUCUUUAUGUGUCUUUAUUUCAUUUUAUAUUUCUUUCCUUCCAUUUUCAUGUCUUAUUGUUCAAAAAUUCCUUUCAUUAUCAUUGGGGACAAUGCUAUAAUUAAGUUUGGGGGUAUUUGGAAAUAUAUUUCGUUAGUUUAUUUCUCUAUUAAAAAAAAAAAAAAAUUUUGCAUUUUUAUUGUUGUUUGUAGCUACUUCUCAAUUCAAUGAUGAGAUUUGAUUUUAAUUUCCUUCUUACUUUCAAGAAAGUCUAAGUUCUUUUCGUUGUCUUUGUGUUAACUGUGAUUUCCAGAAAUCAACUUGAAAAAAGAAAUGUGCCUAGUCUUGUCAAUGUGAAACUUGAGCAUGAUUUAGCGUUUCAUAUGUGAAUCAUGUGAGAUUAUGUAAACCUUGUGAGUUUUUUAGCCUAUACAUGAUUGAACCAUUAUGCAUCAAUCUCAUUCCUUCUUGUGCGUAUGAUCUCACUGUACAUGUAUCUCUAGAACUUGCUUUAUACUACUCGAUUCAUUAAUCAAUUCAUGUAAUAACUUGGAAGUGAUAUAGGCCAUCUUUGGAUCGUUUGAGCCUUUCAUGCCUACCUUAUAUGCUAUGUUUAUCCUUAGUAGCCCUUUGAGCCUUUAACUAAGCCAUUUCUUUGUUAACCACAUCUCUUUACCUUGCUCCAAUAUUGGAGUUGAGCCCAUACACAAAAAUCGAUUCCUUAUUGUUUUGAGAAAGUAUUACAUGGGUUGUGCUUUUGGGGGUUUCAUUUAUAUAGAAAGAUGGAUGGAGUAUGUGUAUACAAUGAAAUGUGAAUUUGAUGGGUGAUGUAGAUUUUGAAAAUUAUUUCAAAAGAAAAAAAAAACGAAAAAAAACGAAAAAAAUGAAAAUUGGAGAGUGUUGAUUUGUUGAAAAUGUGUCGGUAGAGUAUAAAUUUCCUUUUAAAGUUAAAUUUGGGGAGUAACAGGUGCUCGAGGUUUUAUUAUUUUGCUUUCAAUUUGAGGUGGUGUGAUAUUGAGGUGUUGGAAAACUACCAAAGUGUACUUUCUCAAAAUUUUUGAUUUCCAUAUCCUUUCUUUCAUUAGCCUAUCACCUUUAGCCCCAUUACAACCGUAAUAAAGUCCUAUUGAUCCAAGGUAUUACUUAAAUAUUGAUAAGCGAGUUAGGUGGACAAGCAAGCACAUGGCGGCAUGUACAAUGAGAUUACUUGAGUGAAACACAUUAACAAAAAAUUAUGAGUGAAUGAGCGUAUGUCUUGUGAGAAACUCACAUGUUUGCAUAUGAUGAUUUAAAGGAGCUUGGAAUUGCAUUGACAUAGCUAGCUCACACAUGGCAUUUCAACGUUUUGUUUGAAGGAAAUUUGGUUAACUAUUGGAUGAUGUUUUGAGCUCUUGCUUACUUCUUGGCAGUGUAUCUCAUGACUAGCACUUAUCUCUGAAAUCGAAAUUGAGAAGUUGGCUACUAAGUUGUUGAAUCUAGUCUUAGUUGAGUGGUUUUGUUUUGCUAGAGGACUAGCAAAAAUGUAAGUUUGGGGGUAUUUGAUCACUCAUAUAUUUCAUGCAUUUAUACCAUCCAUUUCUAAAGUCUUUGUGAUGUUUUUGUGUUAAAGUUGUGGCAUUUUACCUUACCUUGUGUUAAUGUACAGUUAAUUUUAUUUUAGGAUCAAUUUCAAAGAAAAUGGGCUGAAAAGAAAAUAAAAGAAAAGAAAUAAAUGGGACGGAAAGGAAGACACUGACAGAAUAAAAGAAUGAAGAAAGAGGUAGAACGGCAGAUAGAGAAGUGGGAAGAAAGUGGAGUGCGCAUGGGAUGGAAGUGGAACAAAAAGCAGGAGAGGGAGUGAGGAGUGCGGGAUAAAAGCAAAGAAAAAUAGAAGAAUAAGAAAGAAGUGGGAGGACACGGACUGAGUGGAAGAAUUAAAGAGAGAAGCAGGGUGCAGGCACGGACAGAAAGGAGAACUGAAGAAUAAAAGAGAAGACAGAGAAGCAGAAAAAAGAAGAGAAACUGACGUGAAAGCCAGUGCGCAGAGGGCGCAGAGAGAUAGGAGAGAUUGUGCGGGAGCAGAAGCACAGAAGCAGAGGGAACAAAAUCACAGACUGACAGCAGACGCAAGAGGCACGGCAGAGAGCAAAGCUUCACUCUAUUUUUCUUGGUUUUAUCUUCUCAAACCCAUGUUUUACUUUUGGUUUAAUUUGUGAAUUAUGUGUAACUAAAUUUUAAGUAGUUAGGGGCUGUUUUGAAGCCCCGAAUAUGAUUGUAAGUUUGUUGUGAUAUUUUGUUUGAAUGACUUUUAUGAAAGGAUGAAAAUUGUUUCACUACUUAUGUGAUUGAUAAAUUCUUUAUGUGUUUCUAUGGAUGCAUACAUAGUGAGCAUAUCUAGGAUUUUAAUGCUAUGAAUAUAUGUUUACCUGCCCUUGUUGAAUGAGGACCUACAUAUGUUCUAGAGUAGCACUUGUUAAUUGUGGUUAACAUGUGAACCGAUUUCUAGGAUAAGUAAGACAAUGCCAGUACUUAUCAUGCCUUGUGAUGACUCAAACUCUUUUCGUUCUUAAUGAUUUCUACUUGUUAAAUCUAUGAACACGACAUUCUAGAUUACAUGCUAGGGACUACGUUAAGUUGAAAACGCUAUUCUCUUAACAUACUACGUAAGAAAAAGUAAUAGGUUGUGUUCUAACAUUGAGCCAACUUGAGCAUCUUCAUCCGGAAAUAAAAGGAAUUUGAAUGAAACAUAACAUGUUUGCAUGAUUAUUUGGUGGUGGAUAGCAUUUCCCCUAAUUCGUUUUCUUAACUUGUGAAUUAAAAUCUAUUGGUAUUAUUUAAAACUGGUUGAGGUCCUGUUUUGUCCGAUUUAAUUUAAAUAGCUAAUCAACUUCAAAAAUCCCAAACAUUUGUGUGAGCAUAGCUUGGUGUGUCUAGUUUAUGUGUAUAAAAUUUCGUUGCAUUUGGAUAAGUGUAAGUUAGUCUAAUAAUUAUUGUUCGGUGGCUGGUCAGUGGAGACAACCAUCCUGUUUUUGUGACAUUUUAAGUGUUUGGAUAAAACAAUUUUCUGCGGAAAAGACCCUUAUUUUCAUAUGCUACAAUCGACAAAAUUUUAGUGUUAAUAAGGAAAAUCAAUAGGAUUAUUGUGGGCUACUUUGUGGUGCGUUAUAAUUACUACCAUGCUGUCAGUGGGUGUUAAUAUCAGGUACCCAUGUUCAGUUUUUCGUUUUGAUUUGAAGGAAUUUCUUGCGGAGAGGAGCAAGGGUUUCUUGGUGAGUUCUUCGGGUUGUGCAUAUGGGUAAUUUUCUUUUCGGUUUAACCCUCUGCUUCUGCUGCUCUCUCUCUUUCUCUCAUCCCUGCCUGCUCCUCUCCAAUUGUUUGCUGUUCUUAAAUAUUGUGUUCAUUGCCUGAUACAAGGGGCUGCAGCAAUCUGUUUUAUCCUACACGGGACAACGAGGCAAUGGCGUGACAACAGGUGAGCUUGGAUAUCCAAAGAAAAAGAACAGUUGGUUCAUCUGCUGGAGUCUGAGCUUAGAGAAGUGGAGGAAAAUUGCAGGUGUGCGAGAAAUUUUAUUUUGCUGAUAGGACUCCUUAUUUACUGAUGCAUUUUGAAAUAAUUGAAAAGUUGGAUUUGAGUUAACAGCUAUAAAAAUGUAGACAUGAUUGCUGAGAUUAUGCUAUGAAAGUGGAAUAAAAAAAUGGUAGUUUAUAAUAUUGCGUACCAAUUGUUUUCUCUCUUUUUUACCAAAUGAUAAGGGUGGUGGCUCAGGCCGCCCCCCUAAGCGUCCCCACUCUUCGACAAGUUGAAAUCGUGGUGAUAGUUUAUGGGCUGUGGUCUUGGGAUUCUGCAAAUAGAAUGAAAAACAGACACUUAACUAUCUUGUUAUUAAGCAUUUCUGCAUCAUUCAGUUGCUCUUGAUUUUCGUCUUUUAAGCGAUCUUAUUUCUGCGAUCUGACUUGAGGAGGGUUUUUAGACCUAUGGUUGUGGGUGUUUUCUCUGACCCCAUUAUCCGAGAUUUGUAGACUUGCGAUCGGCGGUCAAACAUUUUGUGAUUCUUGUUUUCUCUGCCUUUCGGUCGUUAAGCGCCGGCAGUCUUUAGAUCUUUGGCAAAUCAAUUUAAUACAACCGAGGUAUGUUUUAUAACUGCUGUCUUUCAAUUUUUGUUCUGUAUUUUUGUUAAUUUGGAUGAAGCUCUAAUAAUUUUGUUUUGGAUCAGUUGUGGUCCUCUGUUAGGAUUUUCCUGGCUAAGAGGGUAUUUGCGUUUUUGUUGCUUGGUUGGUCGAUCACAGAUUUACGAACAGCUGUGGUGGUCCUGUUAUUUUUUGGUAUGUUUUUUCUCCUUUUUGGUUUUUUUCCCGGUUUGAGCACCCAUUCUUGAAGAAUUAAAAUGUGUUUUAUAGUUUUUUCAGGAGAGAUUAGAAAAGUGAUUUCAAUUUGGGAAAAUUUAAUGUUGGUUAAAAUUUGUUUAUAAUUUUUGGGAAGGAAUGAGAGGACCCAUUGAAGUAUGUGUUGUGAUUAUUUUUUAUUCAUAUUUUUAACAAAUUGGGCAUGAAUUGGUAGGUUAACUGUGUGUGUUUAUUAUUUGAAUCGGCCAUGUUUGUCUUUCUAUGGUUCUAAAAAAUUUGUAAAGGCUGUUAACUUGGAAGAAAAUGGGAUCGAGGGUGAGGGGAAAACGGCAGAGAAAGCAUGGAAGAGAGAUUUGGGAUUAGGGGUAGGAAAACAGAUGAAAAGAAUAUGAUAGAGGAAUGGGUUCAGUUCAUUUUCACUAUUUUUUUUUAACUGAUUUGGAUUUUGUUUGGGUUUAACUCCGCCUAUGUCUUACAUGGCCGGUCCCAAGCCCGGAUAAAGGAGGAGGGGGAGGGCGUCAGGUAGUCGACAGCCGGCACUCCAUGAUCAUGUCGAAUCCUUAUGAAAAUGAAUCCAGAACAAAAUCGCGCUAAAGCUAGGACGUCACCCGUAAGUGGCGCGCUGUAUGGCCCGAGCACAGUGAUAAGUGAGCAAGGGUCGCUGUAUCUCCAUCGGCACCCGGAUGCAGUGUUAAAUGAGCAAGGGGGCCAUAGAAACUUCUUUUCGAACGACUCCACUCAAAGUUGUUUGAGAGCAUAUGCUCCUAUCAACUUUACCCGGGACACACAAAAGAAGUACUUUGAUCCUAUUAGACGGGGGAGGGUGAAGAAGCUAGGACAGAAGGGUAGAGUUCAAGAGAGCAAAAUGCGUUUAGGAACGUGGAAUAUAGGAACCUUAACGGGAAAAUCUAUGGAAGUAGUGGAAGUUAUGGUGAGGAGAAGGAUAAAUAUUAUGUGCCUACAAGAAACUAAGUGGGUUGGUAGUAAGGCAAAGGAUCUAGAAAACUCAGGGUUUAAACUUUGGUAUUCGGGCACAAAUAGAACGAGAAACGGUGUUGGCAUCAUCGUGGACAAGACCUUGGUACAAGAUGUUGUAGAUGUCAAGAGGGUAGGAGAUAGAAUCAUGGCAAUCAAGAUUGUAAUAGGACAAGAACUUAUCAAUGUGAUUAGUGCGUACGCACCUCAAGUAGGGUUGGAUACGAGUUCGAAGGAGAAAUUUUGGGAAGAUCUUGGAGACUUGGUGCAAGGAAUUGCUCAGACGGAGAAGUUAUUUAUAGGAGGAGAUUUAAAUGGACACGUGGGCAGGGAGACAGGCAACUAUGGAGGUUUUCAUGGUGGCCAUGGUUUUGGGGAGAGAAACGAGGAUGGGGAAGCUAUCUUGGAUUUUGCAAUGGCAUAUGAUCUCUUCUUAGCCAACACCUUCUUUAAGAAGAGAGAAGAACAUGUGAUCACCUACAAGAGUGGGUCGUCAAAAACACAAAUAGAUUUUCUUCUAAUGAGGAAAGGGGAUCGUAUAACUUGUAAGGAUUGCAAAGUUAUACCAGGAGAGAGCGUGGCUAAUCAACAUCGCUUGUUGGUGAUGGAUGUACAUAUCAAAAGAGUAAGACAAAAGAACAAGACUUGGAAGUGCCCAAGGACUAGAUGGUGGAAUCUAAAAGAAGAAAAACAAGCCAUUUUCAAAGAGAAGGUAAUCACCCAAUGUGUGUGGGAUAGAGAGGGGGAAGCUAGCCAAAUGUGGGAUUCCAUGGCUAGUUGUAUCCGAAAAGUAGCAAAAGAGGUAUUAGGAGAGUCCAAGGGCUUUGCCCCACACCAAAAGGAAUCUUGGUGGUGGAAUGAGGAGGUACAAACAAAGGUGAAGGCUAAGAAGGAAUGUUGUAAAGCCUUAUACAAGGAGAGGACCGAUGAAAAUGGUGAAAGGUAUAGAAAAGCGAAGCAAGAGGCGAAGAAAGCUGUCAGAGAAGCUAAGUUAGCGGCUUACGACGAUAUGUAUAAACGACUAGAUACCAAAGAAGGAGAGUUGGAUAUCUAUAAACUAUCUAGAGCAAGGGAAAAGAAGACAAGGGACCUAAACCAAGUGAGGUGCAUCAAGGAUGAGGAUGGAAAGGUUCUUGCUACAGAGAACGCGGUUAAAGACAGAUGGAGAGGUUAUUUUCAUAAUCUUUUCAAUGAAGGACAUGAAAUGAGUGCUUCUUUAGGGGAGUUGAGUAACUCAGAAGAGUGUAGAAACUACUCUUUUUAUCGUCGAAUCCGGAAGGAAGAAGUGGUUGUAGCUUUGAAGAAGAUGAAGCAUAAAAAAAGCAAUAGGCCCAGACGAUAUACCAAUCGAAGUGUGGAAACUUUUGGGAGAGACAGGUAUAACAUGGCUCACUGACCUUUUCAAUAGGAUUUUGAAAACGAAGAAGAUGCCAAAUGAGUGGCGAACGAGCACUUUGGUGCCUAUCUACAAGAAUAAGGGCGACGUACAAAAUUGCAUGAACUAUAGGGGUAUUAAGCUAAUGAGUCAUACAAUGAAGCUCUGGGAGAGAGUCAUUGAGCAUAGAUGAGGCAAGAGACACGGGUUUCGGACAACCAAUUCGGGUUCAUGCCAGGGCGCUCAACCAUGGAGGCAAUCUAUCUCUUACGAAGAUUGAUGGAAAGAUAUAGAGAUGGGAAAAAGGAUUUACACAUGGUCUUUAUAGAUUUGGAAAAAGCGUAUGAUAGGGUCCCAAGAGACAUUCUUUGGAGGAUUUUAGAGAAGAAAGGAGUACGAGUAGCAUAUAUCCAAGCUAUAAAGGAUAUGUAUGAAGGAGCAAAGACUGCCGUAAGAACUCAUGAAGGACAAACCGAAAGCUUUCCCAUAACUGUAGGAUUACAUCAAGGCUCAUCCUUAAGUCCUUACCUUUUUGCGUUGGUAAUGGAUGAGUUAACAGGACAUAUUCAAGAUGAUAUUCCUUGGUGUAUGCUUUUCGCAGACGAUAUAGUGUUGAUAGAUGAAACUCAGGAAGGGGUAAAUGCAAAGCUUAACCUUUGGAGAGAAGUGUUGGAAUCUAAAGGUCUUCGCCUAAGCCGAUCAAAGACAGAAUAUAUGGAGUGCAAGUUCAGUGCAAAUGGAGGCCAAAACGAGUUAGGGGUGAGGAUCGGAGAUCAAGAAAUACCAAAGAGCGACCGUUUUCGUUACCUAGGAUCUAUCUUGCAAAAGAACGGAGAAUUAGAUGGAGAUCUCAACCAUAGAAUACAAGCUGGAUGGAUGAAGUGGAAGAGUGCAUCCGGCGUGUUGUGUGACCGCCGUAUGCCACUGAAGCUCAAGGGAAAAUUUUAUAGGACGGCAAUAAGGCCGGCGAUGCUGUAUGGCACAGAAUGUUGGGCGGUGAAACAUCAACACGUACACAAAAUGGGUGUAGCGGAGAUGAGGAUGCUUCGUUGGAUGUGUGGGCACACGAGAAAGGAUAAGAUUAGGAAUGAGGAUAUCCGGGGUAAAGUAGGAGUAGCCGAAAUUGAAGGAAAGAUGAGAGAAAAUCGGUUACGGUGGUUUGGACAUGUGCAAAGAAGGCCUACUGACGCUCCGAUUAGAAGAUGCGACUAUGGGACAGAGGUUCAGGGCCGAAGGGGUAGAGGAAGACCUAGGAAAACUUUGGAAAGAGACUCUAAGAAAAGACUUAGAGUACUUGGAUCUAACGAAGGACAUGACACAGGAUCGAGCACAAUGGCGUUCUAAGAUUCAUAUAGCCGAUCCCACUCAGUGACUUGGAUUUUCCAAGUCUCCAACCGAGAAGUUUUCCUCACUCGGAAAAUUAAGGGAACACUACCCCAACCUACAUGCUCCACUCAGAAAGCUUCAACAUACAAGCUUCAACAAAAGAAAAUUCAAAGAACUUAGCGAAGAAGGCUUUGGUGUAUUUAACACAAUACGUUGAAAUGAAGGAAAGCUUAUUUAUUGAUAUCCCCGAUAAGCUACAAAUAUGUACAUAUACAUGAGUCAAAAUAAACACACAAGAGGGAGCCUUCACAAAGGUUGCUUAGGAGAAGUCUCAGCAGUCGGUAGAGCCCCAGAAAGAGAAGGCACCGGAGGGGGAUCAUUUGGAGCCUCAGUACUGGACAGAACCCUAGAAGGAGGAGGCAUCAGAGGUUGAUCAUUUGGAGCUUCAUUACGCGGUACAGCCCCAGAAGACGAAGGCAAUAAAUGCCUUUGGAACAAACCCACAAAUCUCUGAUGAUCAAGUAAAACCUGACCAUCAGUUUCCUUCAUCUGGUCAAGCUUCCUCUUCAUGUUUGUAGCAUAGUCAUGUGCGAGCCGGUGCAACUGUUUAUUCUCAUGCUUGAGCCCUCUAAUCUCCUGUUUGAGACUCAUCACUUCAGCCGCCAAUGAUUCAACUUGGCGGGUUCGAGCAAAUAGGCGUUGGGCCAUAUUAGACACAGAACCUGCACACUGAACACUGAGAGCCAGCGAAUCCUUAACAGCUAACUCAUCAGACCGUUUGGAAAGUAGUCUGUUAUCUUUGGGAGUGAGAAGGUUCCUGGCCACCACCGCAGCGGUCAUAUCAUUCUUCAUCACGGAAUCCCCAACGGUAAGAGGACCAGUAGGGGAGACGAAGGAUGGGCGCCAUAUGUUGUCUGGAGAAGGCGGGGCUGCCUCUUCAACAAGGUUCAAGUCAAAACGACGGUCGGAGGGGCCAGACAUUUUCAAAUGUGUUGAAGAGAGAAGAGGUCGGACAAAUCAAGAUCUUAGAAGUGCAAGAAUGAAGCUUCUACUGGUGGAGAUUCAAGUGUGCUUUGGAACUUAAUGCCAGCCCCUAUAAAAAUCUGCACUCGACGGAGCUUCAGAAAUCGAAGAGGCGCCUGCUCAGAAAUCGAAGAGGCGUUUGCUUUCUCAAAAGCUGGGCUGCUUAGAGAUCACGAGGGUUGAUCUCAGAAAUCGAAGAGGCGUUUGCUUUCUCAAAAGUUGGGCUGCUCAAAGACCUCGAAGGCUGAUCUCAGAAAUCGAAGAGGCGCUCGCUUUCUCAAAAGCUGGGCUCCCUAGAGACCACGAGGGCCGAUCUCAGAAAUCGAAGAGGCACCUACUUUUCCAGCCUUGUCAGCACCUGUCACACGCGCACACUCAGCUUUGCGGAAAUUAUGGGCAUUCUGUCGAAGACUUCUGGGGAAGUAGAAAAAACACAUGAAUCUUACUGUUCAAUCACCCACUUCCCACACGCAACAAUAGCUCAUGGGUACCACAGAUAACUUUGCCAAAGUUCUCUGCCAAAGUUGAGCACGUGAAGCUUGCAGCUCCCACUACAUCGCUCUGACCAAGAAGGGUAAAAGAAUAGCAAAGAAACACAGCACUAACAAAGUUUAGACCCAUAAAUUUUGAAGGUCUAGCUACCAUAUUAUUACCACACACAGGGUAAAGGAACAGUACCACUGCUGGAUAAUUGGAAAGUCCCUGUUUGUCAACCUCUGUGCUUCGUGGCAAGGUAGACUAGCAAACAUGCCCAACCUUUACUCACAUUCGAGAAAACACUCCCAAUAAGAUUGCUUGCUCCAAAAUCGAAGAGGCACCGUCCUCCGAAUCUCGAGAGCCAGACUCCCAACAUGACUACUUUCUUAAAAAUCGAAGAGAGGGUAAAGGAACAGUACCAUUGCUGGAUAAUUGGAAAGUCCCUGUGUGUCAACCUCUGUGCUUCGUGGCAAGGUAGACUAGCAAACAUGCCCAACCUUUACUCACAUUCGAGAAAACACUCCCAACAAGAUUGCUUGCUCCAAAAUCGAAGAGGCACCGCCCUCCGAAUCUCGAGAGCCAGACUCCAAACAUGAUUACUUUCUCAAAAAAUCGAAGAGACACUGCUCCCCGAAUCUUCGAGAGCCAGACCCCCAGCAUGAUUGCUUUCUCAAAAAUCGAUGAGGCAUCGUUCUCCGAAUCAAUCGAAGAGGCGCUCGCUUUCUCAAAAGCUGGGCUGCUCAGAGACCACGAGGGCCGAUCUCAGAAAUCGAAGAGGCACCUACUUUUCUAGCCUUGUCAGCACCUGUCACACGCACACUCAGCUUUGCAGAAAUUAUGGGCAUUCUGUCGAAGACUUCUGGUGAAGUAGAAAGCACAUGAAUCUUACUGUUCAAUCACCCACUUCCCACACGCAACAAUAGCUCAUGGGUACCACAGAUAACUUUGCCAAAGUUCUCUGCCAAAGUUGAGCACGUGAAGCUUGCAGCUCCCACUACAUCGCUCUGACCAAGAAGGGUAAAAGAAUAGCAAAGAAACAGCACUAACAAAGUUUAGACACAUAAAUUUUGAAGGUCUAGCUACCAUAUUAUUACCCACAAGGGUAAAGGAACAGUACCACUGCUGGAUAAUUGGAAAGUCCCUGUGUGUCAACCUCUGUGCUUCGUGGCAAGGUAGACUAGCAAACAUGCCCAACCUUUACUCACAUUCGAGAAAACACUCCCAACAAGAUUGCUUGCUCCAAAAUCGAAGAGGCACCGUCCUCCGAAUCUCGAGAGCCAGACUCCCAACAUGACUACUUUCUCAAAAUCGAAGAGAGGGUAAAGGAACAGUACCAUUGCUGGAUAAUUGGAAAGUCCCUGUGUGUCAACCUCUUUGCUUCGUGGCAAGGUAGACUAGCAAACAUGCCCAACCUUUACUCACAUUCGAGACAACAGUCCCAACAAGAUUGCUUGCUCCAAAAUCGAAGAGGCACCGCCCUCCGAAUCUCGAGAGCCAGACUCCCAACAUGAUUACUUUCUCAAAAAUCGAAGAGACACUGCUCUCCGAAUCUCGAGAGCCAGACCCCCAGCAUGAUUGCUUUCUCAAAAAUCGAAGUGGCAUCGUUAUCCGAAUCUCGAGAGCCAGACUCCCAACAUGAUUACUUUCUCAAAAAUCGAAGAGACACUGCUCUCCGAAUCUCGAAAGCCAGACCCCCAGCAUGAUUGCUUUCUCAAAAAUCGAAGAGGCAUCGUUCUCCGAAUCUCGAGAGCCAGAUACCACAUACCACUUUUUCAAAGUGCUCUGACAGAGUUAAAACAUGUGAAACUGGCAGCUCCCACUACCGUGCUAUGACCAAGCAGGGUAAAGGAAUAACAUUACUACUUGUUAGGGAGACUCCUAUAUAUGUUGACCUCCAUCCCCAACAGACAGGCAGACCUGCAAAAAUGCUCAACCCUUCAUCAUAUCUGAGAGGGCACUCCCAACGAAGCCUUUCGAAAUAUUCAGCUUUCUUUCCCCCCGAUAAUACCUCUGCAAACAAGCUAUACUAGAGCAAGAAUAUCUCAUAUCAUCAGGGUUAAAAGCAAGAGUAUCCCAUAUCAUGCUUUUUCCCUGUCUUUUCCUUUGGCCUUGUUUUUACCUGCAAGACAAGGAGAAAGAGAGCAAUCAGUCAGCACUUGGAAUCAAGCUUCCAGCUAGGAACUGACUGCCUGGAACCCCUUACCUGAUUACUUACCUGGCAUUGCUCUCGAGUACUCAUCUUCAACAUCUUAUGUUUCCAGGGAAGAUUCCGCAUCUGCUUGAGGAACAGAUAGGGCAAGUGCGAAAGAUACAAGGAAGCAUGUGGAGACAAGCGUAACAGCACACGUGCCGAUACAUCCAUUACUCUGUCAAAAGCAAAAGUAUCCCAUAUCAGCAGGGUGGAAAGUACUCUAGAUUUGAUGGACUUGUUUUGACCCUCAAAUUCUUCAGUCGACCUUAUACUCUGGAGGAAACCAGAAAACCCUCCAGCUCAGUUCAAGAAUAAGCCUGUGGAAAGUUACUUCUUCAAAAGCAAAAGUAUCUCAUAUCAUCUCUUCUCAUUUUUCUUCUCUUUAUCCUUCAUGCUGCUGCAAGAUGGGGAGAAGGUGAACAAUCAGUCGGAGCUCUGAUUGCUUACCUUGUCUGUCACCUCUUUCAGCAGACCCCUAGCUCGGCGACUUGGGGGACUCCUACUACAUGGUUUGUAUCGCGCUUGACCAAGCCUGAAACUACAAGUAAGCUUCAAGUGAAAUUGAUACAUUACCUUGUGCAUCUCCACCAGUUAAAGAUACCACCCCUGGAUGGAGGAAGAGUACUUCCAGAAAAGAUGCCACAUCUACCUAUGAGACAGAUAAGGCAAGUCAAGACGACACCACACUCCGAUACUUAGAAGUUUCGUGAUUACGAGAUCAUUCUCCCACAAUAUUUCCUAAUGUCAUUUGUACUAAAUCAUUCACUUGUACUCACUAAAGGAGAGCUUGAACCUAUGUACUUGUGUAAACCCUUCACAAUUAAUGAGAACUCUUCUAUUCCGUGGACGUAGCCAAUCUGGGUGAACCACGUACAUCUUGUGUUUGCUUUCCUAUCUCUAUCCAUUUAUAUACCUAUCCACACUAAUGACCGGAGCAAUCUAGCGAAGAUCACAAAAAGCGACCGUUUUCGCUACCUAGGAUCUUAUCUUGCAAGAGAACGGAGAAUUAGAUGGAGAUCUCAACCAUAGAAUACGAGCUGGAUGGAUGAAGUGUAAGAAUGCAUCCGGCGUGUUGUGUGACUGUCGUAGGCCACUAAAGCUCAAGGGAAAAUUUUAUAGGACGGCAAUAAGGCCAACGAUGUUGUAUGGCAUAGAAUGUUAGGCGGUGAAGCAUCAACACGUACACAAAAUGGGUGUAGCGGAGAUGAGGAUGCUUCGUGGGAUGUGUGGGCACACGAGAAAGGAUAAGAUUGGGAAUGAGGAUAUCCGAGGUAAAGUAGGAGUAGCCGAAAUUGUAGGAAAGAUGAGAGAAAAUCGGCUCCGGUGAUUUGGACAUGUGCAAAGAAGGCCGAAUGACACUCCGAUGUGACUACGGGACAGAGGUUCAGGGCCGAAGGGGUAGAGGAAGAUCUAGGAAAACUUUGGAAGAGACUCUAAGAAAAGACUUAGAGUACUUGGAUCUAACGGAGGACAUGAUACAAAACCGAGCGCAAUGGCGUUCUAGGAUUCAUAUAGCCGACCCCACUUAGUGGGAAAAGGCUUUGUUGUUCUGUUGUUGUUGUUGGAUUUUGUUUGGGUUUGAGGCCAUCAUUGGCGUUAAGACGUUUAUUAUCAGAUCGUGUGUUUUUUGCUAACUUUUAUUGGUAAUUUUAAUGUUGUUCUUAUGAUUUUGUGUGGUAGGGUUUCUGAUUUUUAUCGUUAUUCAUUUGGUUUUUUGUGUGUGUUGGUUUGUUUAUUUUGCAGGUUGUGUUUGUGCUGGGACAACAUUUUCCACCUUCUGUUUGCACUGGGAUGAUUGCGUUUUAAAACUGUUGGGGUGAGAUUUACAUAUGGAAUCAUUCCAUUUUUUUUCUUCCAAAUAUGUGCAUUUAGUUCUCUUUUAUUUUAAAUUUUAAAAAUUAAAUCGUUAUUUGAGUAAAAUGUUUUAUCAGUUUAUGUUAUGUGUUGUGACCAGGAAUUCUGUUGGAUUUGCGAAUUUUGGUUUGAUGAGAGAAAUGAGGAGUUUUUUUUGUUUGAAUUUUUUAUUGGACCGAUUUUCAAUUGGAUUGCAUUCUGCCUUUUUGCACCAUUCGUAUGCAAGCAAUUCAUUGUUUUAAAUACAAUUUGAAGAGAGCUGGGUUGCGGGUUGGAUAUAAAAUGUUAAGGUGAGAUAAAAUCGAGAUACCAAGGGUGGAAGAAUGAUUCAGAAUUGGGGGAGGAAAACAGAGGGAAGAUAGAAGAGUAUAAGAGAAGGAUAGGGUUGACCUCAUUUAGAGUUUUUAUUUACUUAUUUUUUUUUAUAAAUUGAUUCAGGACUUGCAUAUCAUUUCUAAAUUUCUAACAUUUUUGUUUAAUUUGACUCCAGUUGAUGGAAAACAGAGCUCUUACUCCUAUCAAUCAGUUGGUCCCGUACAUAAAUGCAGAAAAAUCAAGGUUCGAGUUUGCAGAGUAUGCAGACCAAGGUUUCCCGAAACUACUGGUGCAUAUUCAGGCUUGCAUUGUAUAUUACUUACCUAUUAAAAAUUUGUUUGGAAUUUGCUUUUCCCACAGAGGAGAAGAGCUGACAGUUACGCUGUGGGCAGAUGUUGCUCGAAGUAUUGCUUCUUUAUCCAUUGAAUCAUUGUCUCUGCCGAUCAUUGUGGUUUUCACAAGUUUAAAGGUCAAGCUGUACCUAGGUAUUUGACUUAGUUAAAAACUAAUCUAUUUACUAUUAAUUUUUCUAUUAUAUUCAAACGUUAUUUAAUAUAUACUCUACUAAUAUUUUCUUAACAUGUCACACAAACAUAUUCACUUCUUUUGAUCAAUUUUUUACAGCGUUUCAUAUAAAAGCUAACAUUUAGUUGAAAUUGAUUAGCAACUCUUUUCUUGCAUGUAUACAUACGAAUUAAACAAUAGUAUUAAACUAUUUGUUAUCAUUCUCAGUUUUUGUUUUAGAAUUAGAUUAAUAUAUUUAACCUGUUUUAGAAUUAGAAUUAUUUGGUAUCACUCUCAGUAUUUGUUUUAGAAUUAGAAUUAGAUUAAUAUACUGAGAUUAUUUAGACAAAUCUAGCAUUUUCUCAAAAUAUUUGACUUUUAAACUUAGAUUAAUAUAUUUAGCAGUUUUUUAACAUGCAAUUUUUCAUUAAUUUUUCAACACACAGACAAGAUAGUCUUGAACACCAUUGGUUCAUCACUUUUCUUCAUUGAUCUAGAUAUUCUGGAAGUAAAUUCAUACAAAUCAGUGUAAGUGUGUUUACUUUGUUUAAAAAAAUAUUAUAUGCUCUCACAAUAAAAGAAGGGCUAUUCUCACAAAAUUUAUGAACUAAUGUUCUGUUUUAACCUCUACAGCUUUUCCAAAUGCACAGAACCUCUAAAAAUACUGCCACCUUUUACAAAACAGGCCCGUGAAGCUCAAAUCUUGCAGACAGCGAAGGUCACAAUUGCAGACGCUGAAAUUUUCAUGCCAAAAUAUGAUGUGGAGGAUGAGAAAUUGUUUGCUGUUGUUCUCUUUUCAGUUUUGCAGGCGAUGAUCUUUUACCAAAUGUCGAGGAGCUUCCAUGGGACAUGCUCUAUGCUCUCGCUUCCCAGUUGCCUCUGUUGGGGUUGGAAAAGCUACAGAUCACAAUGUAAGUCAAAAACAGUAAAGUUCCCAAGAUGUUCUGUGCUGGAGCAGAUUUAAAGGUACGAAUUUUUAAUUUUUUUGUGAAGUCGAUGUUUUGUUUUAAAAGGAGUUAUAAUGGAUUGAUUGGACAAGUACAGAGUGUUUGUUUGUUUGGUUGAAUGUAAAAAGGAAUUGGAAGAAUGAUGAAAGUACUUGCAUUUGGUUGUAGUUGGUCAGGCACUGAAGGACCGGUCAAUACGAAGUGCAUCUGUGGGACAAUAGUUGAAAGAAGGCCAGAGCAGGAAGAGAAGGCAAGGUUUGUGAAGAAAAACAGUAAAAGGUCGUACCCAGUGCACAAGGCUCCCGCUUUACGCAAGGUCUGGGAGAGGUGAAUGUCGGCUAGCCUUACCCCCAUUCUGCUUUUGUUUAAUUAGAAGAAAUGUGCAUUUUUUUUUCCCAGUCAAAUUCUGCUUUUGUUCUGACUAUUUUCCUUACUGUAUGCUGAUUUUAUUAUUUAAUUUUUGGUUUUUCCUUGAUUGGCUUGGGAAUUACAAUCAAAUGAUGAAUCUUCAGUUUACUUGGGUAAGCAUUUUUUAACAUAUAAUUUAGCUGACCAUUUUAACUGUCAGACCAUGUUGUUUUUGGUUAUCUAAUCAUUCCAAGAUGGCAAGUUAGGAUUGGAAGGGUUGCUAGAAAUAAGGAUUAUAUCUUGGGACAUUCGGUGAGUGAUUUUUCAAACUUUCAGUUUUACAAGACAAAAUAUCUAUUUUUGUGUGUAUUCUUCAAGCAUGUUAUCAUUAUUUAGGUUGUAGGAAAAAAAGAGAGUGACUUGAGGUGUUUUUAGAUAUUUUUGUGUGUAUUCUUCACAAUGUAUUAAAAGCGCGAGGCGUGGGCGAGGCGUCCGAGGGAUAGCCCACGCCUCACGCCUUACGGGACCUAAAUUUUUUAAUAUAUACACUGAGCGUACACAUAUAUUAUAUUAAAAAAAAUUAUUAAUCAAUAAUCACCCUGAGCACACAUAUAUAUUAUAAAUACAUAUAUACACAUAUAUAUACAUAUAUAUACAUAUAUUAUGUUAUAUAUAUAUAUAUAAAAUAGAGGAUGAAAAGCACAAUGAGCACACAUAUAACAAUGCAUGCAGACAGCACACAAUAUAGUGCAAGGAAUAGGUAUGAGGUAGUUAAAACCCUACCCAAAAUCUGGGUUUGGGAGUAAAAAUAAAAAAAAAAAAAAAAAUUGCAUGAGGCGCGCCUAGACGGCUCCGACAACGCCUUCCGGCGCCUUCCGCCCACUCCCUCAAAACAAAGGCGGCAACCCUCAAGUCCAGCCUCACAGGGUGCCUAGGCGCACCCUGAGGUGAGCCUUUUAAAACAUUGAUUCUUCAAGCAUGCUAUCAUAAUAUUUGUAACUAUAAAAAAUAAUAUACUAUUAUACCUCUGUUUCUCUUUUCUUUGUUUUCAUGAGAAAUUAAUUGCCAUUGGCAGCACUAUAGAAAGCCAUCUUUCUCCAUUAUUCUCCGCUUCAUGCAUAAUUACAUAAUUCUACUAUCACAGUUGUCAGUCCUGAACAAUAAUGCAAGUCUAGUGGCAAAAACCACCUCAAUGAACAACUCACACACACACACAGACACUGAUCAUACAUCUCUAACUCUCUUUUUCAAAUAACACACUCUGAUCCAAAACAGGGUAAAUAAAAUGCACAUCCUUAUACAUUUCUAACUUUGUUUUUCGAAAUCCAAAAUAGGGUAUUCUAACUCUCUUUUUCAUUCAUUUCUUACAAACCAAUCAUACAUUUAAAAUAGGCUUUGAAUAAAAAUAGGGUAUAUAAUUAUAUACCUCAAAAUGCCUAGGAACCAACUUCCCCCUCCAACGAUUCAAAUUCUUGAAAUUGCCAACACAGUAAAUCCAUUAGUACUAUAUAAAUGAAAACACAAUUGAAACCCAUCAAACAAAACAAUCCCACAAUUUAAAUGAUUCAAUCCUACUACAAUUGAAAUUCACAGAAAGAAUGAAAAACCAGAACAAAACUGCAGCACCUAAAAAGUUGUCAUACAAAAAAAAACAUGGAAUGUAAAAAUAUGUUAAGAAAUCUAGUUCGUUAAUUUCCAGCUGCUAAGUGGCAUUAUGUAACUUUAGUAGUAUAACUAAUUAACUACUUAUCUGGUGGGUUGCACUUUUAUCCAAUUGGUAAGGAAAGGAAAAUAAAAAUCAACCCCUUGGUCUUAGUUGUGGCUGCAAAGUGCAGGCCACCACCAAGUCUCAGUGUUUGUGUUUUAGCAAAACACUUAAAUAAAUUAAAUUCUGAAACGUAAAUUAUAUUCCUAUAACUUUAAGAUGCACAUAUAGUAUUGUUGAAGUCGAACUGAAAGCACUGACAAUUCCAAGCAACAAAGCAGCAAUUAUUAAGAGCCAAAACUCAUUCCUAGUCUCCUCAUCCUGGUACUCAACUCCGUAAUCUUCUGUCAGCAUCAUUGACUGAAAUUAGGAGAGAAAAAGAAAAGGAAUUUCAGAAAUUGUCUAUGAAGCAAAGGAUACUGCAGUUACUUCAAGACAUGUAAAUUGCAUAUGUAUAAAGUAAUUUUCUACAUAAAGUAAUGAGGCAUAACUUUCUCUCUCCUCUUCAAACCCUAAACAGAGCAAAGCAAACUUUACAGAGAUUAGAAUGAGAACUGGAACUAAUCGAACAAUGACUGAAAAGUAACAUACUUGAGGAGUGAAUGAUUUAGUGUUUCCAUCAUCGGAAGCCGGAGUAAGUCGCUAAGAGAGGUCGCAAACAGCCCAAAGGGACAAACCCAGAUCCCCGGCCCCGAUCCAUACCCUUCCCCCUCAAAUCCCGACGGCCCCCAUACUUUUCUCUGACUGUACCCCCUCUCCCACUCAUGAAAUCGAGGAUCUGUCGCAAUGGUACUGAGAUCCCCACUCCUCCCUCUCCCUUUCUCUCUGUCGCUCUGUCUCCCUCUCCCUCUGUCUGUCUAUCUUUAUCCCAGAGCGGCAUGGCCUCCCAUCCCUGAAACCCUCACCGAAAGUUGGCAAUUUUGUAAAUAACUUGAAAUCCACCAACAGCAGGGGUAGAGAAUUGAAACAAACAUUUAGGCUCGUUCGAUAACCAUUUAGGCCAAAACUGAGCACACCUAAACCAUUCCUACUCGUGCCAAAUGUUAGUGGGGAAGCAAGAUGAUGACUUUAUUAUUCAAAACCAAAAGAAAAAAAGAGAGAAAACAAAAUAACAAAUGUAAUGGUUGUAGUGUAAAAGCUGAGAACGUAAAUAAACAUGCAGGGAAAAAAAUUGAAGAUACAAAGUAGCUGCAUCAUGAACACUUACUCCAAUUAGACGCAAAAAGUGAUGGUGAUGAGAAGAGAGAGAAAAUGCAGUCGUUUUGAUUUUUCUGGCUUUUAAAGGGAGCAGCUUUCUUCGACCACCAAAAAAAGGAAGCUGCUUUUCGUGUGGUUGUGAUUUCCUGAGUGUAUGUGAGCGGGUCUAUGGCACUUGCACUGUUUGUGUCGGUUACGGUAACCGGGCGAGCUGGACACGGCAGCGUGGGACUGAAUUCGGAGAGGUGAGAAAAAUUAAAAACACAAAAAGAAGGUGUUCAUUUUGUCACAUUUUUAUUACGAAAAAUUCAAUAAAGUACAUUCAUUAGUAUGGUAACUUAACUAUUUAAUUCCAUCUCAUUAAACUAAAAAAAACAAUUACAAAAAAAUAAGGAAAACCUUGUCCAGAGAGACCUGAGAGAAAGUGACGACUUCUCCUCUCAUUCAACUCCAUACUUGAUCUCUAAAGUCCAUUUGGCAUGUAAUUGAUGUUCACUUUCAAAUUUAGUGGUAGCAAUUAGCAAAGCUAAUGAAAGAAUCAAAUAAAAUGAAAGAAAAAGCAUCAUGAAAUAAAUCAAGAUGAAGAAUGAAAUUUUGGCAACUCGCCAUUCUCUUCUUUUAUAUAAAAGAUACAUCCUAUUUGUAGUGAAAACAGAUCCCGACAAACCCAGUUAUCCUCAAGAAGUAUUUUGUAUGACUUUAAAAACAUAAUCCGUGAAAUUAUCUCUUGGCUGAGAACAACAACAAAUCUUCAUGCAUAGCUUGUAGAGAAAGACAUCAGGCAUACAAAAGAACACGCAAGCAUAAAAUAAACGAAGCAGGGAAAACCAAAAAUACAAUUGAAUACGCUGUCAAAAGAACAUGAAUAAAUGAAAAUACCAAACAAAGCAGUGAUGAGAAACCAAAGUACCCAUUUCAUAAUCUAAUUGCUUUUUAGUUUGCUUGCCAUUUUUAGUUCUUCAAUUUAGAGAGACACCAUAAUUCAGCACAUGAAUAAAGUGAAAACGUAAAAGAUAUGUGGGAUAGGCUGACAGCCAUCCCUGAGUAAUGCAUUCACUUCUGAACCCCAAACACACUGAAACAAAAAUUCACACACAUGAACUACAGCUCCGCUUUGUAACAAGAAUUAAAAGCAUCUCAAAACAAAAUGGCAAACUAUAAGAGCAUUGUAAAAGUAAAAUUGCAAGAAAUCUAAUACUUGGAGGGCAAGUACUCAUCAGACGAAAAUGAAAGAUUGAACUACCUCGCGUGGAACUGUGCCUUGGUUUUUUCCCAUGCUUACAGGAAGCUUUGCACUGAGCUCUUAUAGUCCAAAUUUUCUCUGAAGGAAAAAAACACAAUUUUGAAAUAAGAUUUUCGUAUUAUACCUUAAAGAGAAGAAUUAGACAACAAAAUAGAGAACAAUGAGUACUAUUCAUCAUAUAUUGUUAGAGUAUGUGGCCCUCUGGUCCAAUGGUCCCGCAGCCAUAUUUCCUUUAUAACUCUUUCUUUUAAUCUAAAAAACAUCUUGAAUCUCAAAUUAGUAUGAAUACGGAUUCAUACUUUAUAACUAAAGAUCUUACUGCUCUUGAUAAGAUGAACAAUACGCCAUUUCUCGCAUGCAUUGCAUUACAAUCACAAUGCAACAUCUCAUUAGAAAUCCCCACACAAAUUUUUUUUAUUGCUACUUUGAUUUUAGUUUAUAUUUUUUCUGAAGCAUGAGGGAGCUAAUUUUUUUUUUUAAAUUUUUUAUUCCAAUAAUGUUAUAGGGAGGGUUGCAAGGAUAUUAUCAAUUGUAUUUGAUUGGUGGAACUUCUACAUCUAUAUUUUAGGUUUUCAAUUUUAGCACUGGGAGAGUCAUUCAUAAAAUGUUUGACAGUGAGAUUACCUCCAUGGACUAUGCUCACAAUGGACAGCUCAUUUUCCGCGGUGAUGGGACAAUAUAUUUCAGUCAUUCGCCAUUCAAUCAAUUCAAACUGAGGAACAUGCAACAUCAAGAAGAGGAUCUACCAUGUCAGGAUCACUAUCGUCCAAUUAAUACAAAAAAAUCUAGAUAAAAACGAUCAAUUUACAUAAAAGCCCUUCAUUUUCUCAGCAACCAAGCAAAAGAAAAUACCUAUCCGUUAAACACUCGAUUUGGGAGUAAAUGUUGCUGAAACUGGACUUCAAUCCCCUCAACCGCAACAACCGAAUCGAGGUGUGCAAGUCAUUGAAAAACUCACCCAAGAUUUCAAAAUCUGCAUAGAGAAAUAAAUAAGCACAUAAAUUAGCCCAACCCAUAAAUCAAAGAAAUCAAAAUCCACCCAGAAUCAAAGAAAUCAAAAUCCAUCCAGAACCAAAGAAAUCAAAAUCACACACAGAUAUGCAAGACAACGCAAAUUUGAAGCCUUACUUUUCGGGUAGCUUGGCGGCUGACAUGAGUCUUCUUCAGAGUUUCAUCCAUCCAUGGAUCCAUUUGGUCCGCCCGUCGCUUCUGGGUCGUACAAUCUUAAAAUCUGCAAAAUGAAUUUAAAGAAUCAAUUUUUACGAUUGAAAAGCCAAAAGUGCUACAAACUCCAAAUUGCUGAGAACCAAAGUGGAGUAACAGUUACAGGUCACGAGAUGAGAUGAGGACAUUGUCGGAUUUCAGGGCGAACCUGACUCUGGAAAUUGCAUCUCGGAUCGGGCUUUCGAACUUCAAAGGAGCUCCGCUCAUUGUGGUCCUUGCAGACCGAACUGGCCUAACAAUCAGCGAGAGAAAGGAGACGGCGGCAAGAUGAGGGAUACAAUGGAUGCGAGAUCGUCUGUAUCGUUCUCGCGGGGGGUUUGCAAGACGGACGAGGAAAGUAGGGUUUGAUGAGGCAUUGUCUUCGCGCGGGGUAUGUGUCCUUCCCAUUCCAUGAUUAUCAACACGUGUGCAUCAACAGAAGCGGCAGAGAGAGGCAUUAUUGUAAAUAAAGUGAAAUCGAAGGGCAAUGGCCCUUUUUUUUUUAAGGUAAUGGCAUGGCCAUAAAUAGAAUGAAAUCCAGAUCAAAACACUGUCAUUUGUACAGUACAAUUUCUCCAUCUUCUUUAGACUAAAGUAAUGUAUAUGUUAUACGCACCAACACAAGUCCUUCUUAGAUAAAUCCAAGCCAAACAAUUACAGACGAUAGUUAUUCACAAAAUCACUUUAAAGUAAGAAUUUAAUUAAUAAUACAUUACUGCACUUUCUUAACAAUUUGACUAUCACCUAGCUGACAAUGAACAUGUUAGCUAUGCGUUAGAACAUAUUGGGUUCAAUCCAUUGUCUUGAAUAUUACCCCCAGUCACAGCCGUCUCUUGGGGGCAUACAGAAGGCCUGAGAGGCAUUUGCAGACAUUCAACAUCUCCUCCAAGCAUUUCGACAACUUUGGACAUCGAAGGGCGAUCACUUGGUUUCAUUUGAAUACACCACAAGGCGGUUAUAACCACCUUUCUUAUCACUUUCUUUUCCUUCUCUGUAACAUUGUCUAUUUCCAAGUCAUUUCCCACAAAAUACUGAUCGUAUACCUACAGCGGGAAGUAGAUUUGGCUUGGAUGCUCUACCGUUGCAUUCAAAUUCUUCCUUAUGCUUGCCAUUUCCAUCAACAACAUUCCAAAACUAUAGACAUCGGCCUUGUAUGAGACACCUCCAAUAUUUUUGUAGAACAACUCAGGAGCAAUAUAUCUCAUUGUACCCCGUGCUGUCGUCAAAGAGACAAUGCUAUUAUCUACUGGAUACAAUUUUGCAAGCCCAAAGUCAGAAACCUUUGCUUUAAAGUUCUCAUCAAGAGGGAUGUUAUGAGGCUUGAUGUCAAAAUGUAGAAUUUUCAUUUUACAACCUUGAUCUAGAUAUUCGAUCCCAUGACUCCAAGAGAAAUCUUGUACAUAGUCUUGAUAGUUAAGGGAAGACUUCCUUCUUUGGAAUAAAUGUAUUUAUCAAAAGAGCCAUUAGGCAUAAAGUCAUAUAUUAGAGCGCGCUUUGAUCCCUCGACACAAUCACAAUCACAAUCACAAUCACAAUCACAAUCACAUUCCAACAUGGAAUCCUCAGACGACAUGCCUACUGCAGAACAAGUUUCAUCCUUACUUAACUUCUAUUUAGUCCACUUCCUGUUUAGAUUGUAAUCCUAGUUCUGCGUGUGUUUGUAUAGUACUCCUAUAAAUAUCAAUGAAAACCGCUCACUCUAAUUAGGAGUUGAGAUUCUGCAAAUCAUAUUUACUAUCUUUCAUGGUAUCACGAGCCAAGGUCUAACGACAACGGUUCCUGUUAUAAUUUUUUUCUCUUUUGUAGAUCCUAAACUAUGGCAUCUUCUUCCUCCUCCGAUGCUCCCUCCGUCACAAAUUUUCUUACGAUCAAGCUCGACCUCAACAACUACCCUCUCUGGCGUGCUCAAUUUCUUCCCUUGCUGCGCAGCCGCAACUUACUCUCUUAUGUUACUGGCGAAACUCAAUGCCCAUCUGCCUUUGUUCUUGAUGACAAUGGUAAAUUCACAGACAAAGUCAAUCCAUUAUAUAAUGAAUGGAUCCAGACUGACUAGAUGAUCCUAUCUUGGAUUACGAGUUCUCUUACUCCCAAGGUUCUUGCUACGAUCGUCAACAAAAUUGAUUCGACCUCUGCUUGGUUGUCAAACCCGAAUUAAUCUGAUUAUGGGGGUUUUAUUUUAUAUCAAUAUAUUGCAGCAGAAGUCGCACUUUGAAGAGUUCAUGCUGCACAGAAAGAU